UUCCUCACCACCACCUCCAGUGCAUUCACCCCCACCACCACCAAUUUAUAAGUCUCCCCCACCGCCUCCCCCAGUAUAUAAGUCACCACCACCACCUCCUCCAGUAUACAAAUCACCUCCACCACCUCCUCCAGUUGACAAAUCUCCACCACCACCAAUUUAUAAAUACAAGUCUCCUCCACUACCUCCUCCAGUGUACAAGUCAUCACCACCACCUGCUUACAAGUCUCCACCUCCUCCAGUUUACAGUUCCCCACCACCACCAAUCUACAAGUCUCCACCUCCACCCUACCAUUACUACUACAAUUCUCCUCCUCCUCCUCGUCACUACUAAGCAAUUGUAUCCAAGUUUUUGAGGUAAUAACGCUUAACCAAUAAAUUAACUUUCGCAUGAUAAACCUUAUCUCUAUCAAGACAAACUGCCAUGUGUAUCAUGCCAAAUACGUACACCUAGAUCCAUGAAAAUGAAUGGUGAGGAGGGCCAUUUAGGCUCGGAGCGCCCUAGGCCUAGUUCCCCACCAUUUCCUGAAGUGCCGCCUCGGGUAUUAUCCUGGAAGGCGAUCGCGGCCCAUUUACCACCUCGGCUACAAUGUCAGGUCGUAACACCGAGGUGGACAUUGAAUGACAACUACGAAAAGGGGAGAUGUGAUCUCUGACACCUGAGCAAAGGCUGCUCUGACCCGCCGCCUGAAUCUGACAGAAUGUCCCAUCACGUCUCUUCAUGGAGACCGGUCAAGUCCACCUGAUCCACUGACUAUCUCAGAUCUUUUGGGACCCGUGCAAACAUCUCCUCUCUCCUAUCAGUCCCCUAUAAAUACACGAUACUUCUACUGAAAAAGGAGAUGACCAAUUUCUGGUAAAACACACUCCACUCAUUAUUUACUUCUCUAUAUCCGAACUGACUUAAGCUUCGGAGUUAUACCGGGGGAUCCAGCCCCUUUCUUAUCCAAGCAGGUGACUUCGUCCAAGAGAGUUGCCCAAGGUAAAGAUAUUCUUCCAAUUGAGGUGACUCACUCCUGCGGGUCGAAAAUCACCUCUUCAAUUGGCGCCGUCUGUGGGAACCGCAAAGAUAUUAGAAGAUGAAGCCUGCGCGUUCUAGAAGCAGAAAAGCUCUCACUAUCGAGGCUGGGCAAAGCAAUGCAGCUCAACAAGAAAAUAUUUCUGAAGGGCAGGAGUCCCCAAGGACUCAGCCCGCAAACGAAAAAGCCAUAACCCGUAUGGCCGAGUUUGUGACCGAGAACCCCAACAUCUUUGAAGAGUUGGGAAGAUACCUGAAGAGGCAAGGCAAACAAAAGGCCGAGUCCUCUAAAAGGAUGUCAGAUGGGUCUCUUGAGGACUCAUCUGAGGAGGAGUCGGAUGGAAGGCACUUAAGCCGAAGUGCCUCAAAGCGAGCAUUUUCUAAGGCCACUUCUAAGGUAGCCUCCCUGACCAAGGCGUUUUCCCGAGGGCUCUUGGGCCGACGACCCGAGGAAGAACCUCGGCCCUUGGGAAUACCCGGGGUGGACUGCAUGAGGGCUCCACCGUUCACGGAUGAUAUAAACGAGGAAAGGCUUCCUCCCAAUUUUAAGCUCCCCGCAGUACAAUCUUACGAUGGCCGAGGUGAUCCCGAGAAUCACAUCCAUACCUUCAUCUCGGCCUUCCAAAUAUACUGCAUCCCAGACCCUGUCAUAUGUCGGGCCUUUCCAGUAUUCCUCAGAGGAACUGCUCGAAAAUGGUUCUGAGCUCUAGAACCUAGGAGCAUUUCGACCCUGGGUGAAUUAGUGGAGAAGUUUCUCCACCGAUUUGUCUCCUCCCGACCUACGACUAGGACCUCGGCUUACCUGCUCACCGUGCAGCAGAACCCGGGAGAGUCACUCCGGUCGUACGUCCGGAGGUUCCAUGAGGAAAGCGUUCAGAUACCUGACCCCAAUGAGCAGGUAACCCUCGCUGCCUUUACCCAUGGACUCGUUGCCGGGGAGUUCAAUACGGGGAUCCAUAAAAAAUACCCCCGCACACUGCAUGAAUUGUGGUUGAAGGUUGAAAAGGGCAUACAGGCCGAAGACCUCCAUCGCAUGAAGAAAGAGGUCCAAGCCACCCGUCCAAGGGCUGAGCCCAGAAAGGGAAAAGACGCUGGCCGAACUGAAGUAGGGUCGGGAAGUGGCUUCCGAAGUCCUGGCCGAGACCGCCGCAGCGUGUUCGACAGGAUAUCCAAGGGGAAGUCACCUAUUCCCGAGUCCGAGUUGACUCCUUUAAAUACUACCCGAUCUCACGUGUUGUCCGUGAUGGAACAAAACAACCUCGGCAAGGGCCCGCCGAGGAUGUUUGGAAGCAGAGACAAGAGGAACUCGAACCUCUACUGCUUGUAUCAUCGUGACAUUGGUCACGAAACUGAGGAUUGCAACGAUCUCAAGAAGGAGAUCGAGAACCUCAUUAGACGGGGACACUUGAAACAGUUCAUCCGCAGAGGUGGAGGUCACCAACGUGACGAAAACCGGCAUGACAAAUGAGGUGACCAACGCCGAGAUGAGCGGCGGAGCUCCAGAAGCAGUUGCCGACCUCCUGAGGAUCCCAGGGAGACGAAAAGGCCUCCCCCAGACGGAUCUUCGGGACAUGGGCCAACCAUUGCCCGGGUCAUUAACACCAUUGCCGGAGGUCCGACGGGAGGGGACAGUCAGAACUCCCGGAAGAGAACCUAUAAGCAGGCUAACCCGGAUCAGGCCGAGUCGAGUUCUCGCCUGUCCGAGGUGAUCACCUACGGGCUCAGUGAUCCCAUCCCAGCUGCAUCCAGCAGUCAUGAAACCUUGGUGAUUGAAGUCCUCACCAAUAACUACAUUGUGAAAAGGUCUACAUAGACCCGGGAAGUUCAGUUGACGUCAUGUACCUCCGUACCUUUGAGAGCCUUAAAAUGGCUAAGGGGUGCAUGACCCCGCUGAGAACCCCUCUUGUAGGGUUCGGGGGACACGUGGUGCACCCCGAAGGGAUGGUGACUCUGACAGUGACCAUAGGGCAUCACUCUCGCUGUAGAACCGUCCCUGUCAAUUUUGUGGUGGUUAAGGCUGACUCCCCAUACAACCUACUUUUAGGUCGGCCUACGCUCAAUGCCUUGCGGGCGGUCUACUCCACCUACCACCUGAGCUUCAAGUUUCCUACCCCAGCAGGGGUGGCCGAGGUCAGCAGCGACGUCUGUGCUGUCCGGGAGUGCUACCUCGCCACCCUACAAGCAGCCUCCCCGUCUACCUCCGGUGCGAGGUCCGAGAAGAGGUCAAAUAUCCUCUCAAUAGAUAGCAUCGAUCCUCAGUGAGCUGAGAAGGUCCCGAGGCUGGAGACUGGGGAUGAGGUGGAAGAGAUUCCCCUGGACCCCACGAAACCUGAUCAGACAGUUCGCGUUGGUACCCGAUUGCCCGGUCCUAUCCGAAGAGGUAUGAUGGACCUCCUCAGGGAAUACCGGGACGUCUUUGCUUGGGCCGCCGAAGAGGUCCAAGGAGUCCCGCACCAUCUCAUGAUGCAUGACUGAACGUCGACCCCCAAGUCCGUCCGGUCAAACAGAAGAGAAGGCACAUCGGCCCUGAGCGCAGCCAAGCUGUUGGUGAGGAAGUGGACAAGCUUUUACCCGCUAAAAUAAUCCGAAAAGUCCAAUACCCGAUCUGGUUGUCUAACUCGGUCAUGGUCAAGAAGGAUACGGGGGCUUGGAGAAUGUGCGUCGAUUUUACCGACCUCAACAAAGCCUGCUCCAAGGAUUGCUACCCCUUGCCCAAAGUCGAUACUUUGGUAGACUCAGCAAUGGGCUACGAGAUCCUCUGUUUCUGGGAUGCAUUCAAAGGCUAUCACCAAAUUGGGAUGAGUCAAGAAAACCAGGAGAAAACGGCCUUCUACACCGACCGCGGCACGUACUGUUAUACUACCAUGCCAUUCGGGUUGAAGAAUGCCGGAGCCACUUAUCAACGCUUGGUCAACCAAGCAUUCAAGUCUCAAAUCGGCCGGAAUGUUGAGGCCUAUGUAGAUGACAUCCUCCUCAAAAGCCAGACGAACUCCACCUUCCUGGCCGACUUGAAGGAGGUCCUUGACAUCCUGCGGAAGGUGAAAAUGAUGCUGAACCCCAAGAAAUGUGUUUUUGGGGUCACCUCGGGGAAAUUUCUAGGUUACCUCGUCUCAAGGCGAGGUAUCGAAGCAAAUCCGGAUAAGGUGCGAGCCAUCCAGGAGAUGUCUCCACCCCGGUGCGUCCGCGAUGUCCAAAGGCUGACAGGGCGAUUAGCCGCCCUGAAUCGGUUCUUAUCGCAGUCGGCAGCUAAAGCACUGCCCUUUUUCAAAGUGUUGAAGAAAGCUGACCAUUUCUCCUGGACGGAAGAGUGUCAACAGGCGUUUGAGCAGUUGAAGGAUUACCUUCACUACCUUCCAACGCUCACCUCACCUCGUCCGGGGGACAAAUUAAUCUUAUACCUUUCUGCUGCGGCCGAAGCGGUGAGUGCCGUGCUGAUAAGGAAGGAAGGGGUCCAAAUGCCCGUCUACUACGUUAGCCGAGUCCUCCGAGGUCCAGAGACCAGGUACACACAAGCAGAGAAACUUGUGCUAGCCCUGAUCCACGCCGCCCGCAGACUCAAGCCCUACUUCCUAGCUCACCACGUCUGCUUGAGGACUGAUCAACCACUUCGGCAGAUUUUGACACGACCAGAGGUUUCGGGACGUCUUACCAAAUGGGCCAUUGAGCUGGGGGAGUACGACCUAACUUAUGAGCCUCGCACAGCGAUCAAGGCCCAGGCUCUCGCAGACUUCGUAGCCGAGCUCACCUUUGACGAGGUGCAAGGAUCCGUCCCGGCUGCCACAUCGGCCACAGUUGAUGUGGCCACCACUGGGCUCCAGCGGUGGAUCCUACACGUGGACGGUUCGUCAACAGUGAGGGUAGUGGAGCAGGCUUGCUCCUCGAAGACCCCCAAGGAGAAAUAUGCUAAUAUGCCUUAAGAUUUGACUUCGCUGCUUCAAACAAUGAAGCUGAAUACGAAGCCGUCAUUGCUGGACUGCAGCUAGCUCGCAAGCUCGGGGCCGCACACAUCUUGGUUUAUAGUGAUUCCCAACUCGUCGUGUGCCAGAUAUUAGGUGAGUACGAAGCCAGGGACGAGGUGAUGCAUCGUUACCUCUCCAAGGUCCUCCAGUUGGCGACUCACUUCGAGUCUUUUGAAAUUCAAAGAAUACCGCUAUCGAAAAACAGAAGGGCUGACGCCCUCUCCCGGCUUGCCUCAACCUCUUUCUCUGACCUGAACAAGACGGUUCUCGUUGAAGUUCUAGCCGAACCAGGAUAUGUAGCCGAGGUAGUAUACCCCGUCUACCCUGGGGACACCUGGAUGGGUCCCCUGACUCGAUUUUUCAGCCAGGGUGAGCUCCCCGAAGACCGAGCUGAGUCACGGAAGCUCCAACGAAAAGCAGCACGGUACAUUCUCCGACAAGGCCUUUUAUACAAAAGGUCUUACCUCGGCCCUUAGUUGCGAUGUAUCACGCCCGAGGAAGGCCAGAGAAUCCUCCAAGACAUACAUGAGGGGCUCUGUGGUGCUCACGUCGGCUACAGAAUGCUGGUAAAAAAGGCUUUGUUACUUGGGUAUUUUUGGCCCACUAUGAGGAUAGAUGCCCAGGUCAUGGUCCUUUGCUGCCCCUCCUGCCAGCAUCACGCUCCUGAGCACCACCAGCCGACCAAUUUAAUGAUCCCUAUCACCUCGUCAUGGCCAUUUGAGCAAUGGGGAACGGACAUAAUUGGCCCCUUUCCCAGAGCUCCAGGCAAUUAUACCUACGUGGUGGUAGCAGUGGACUACUUCACCAAAUGGGUCGAAGCUGAACCCCUAAAAAAUAUCACUGGUGCGGCAGUCCAGAAAUUCUUCUGGAAGAAUGUGGUUUGCCGCUUCGGCCUACCCCGGGUGAUCAUCUCGGAUAAUGGCCGACAGUUCGCCGAUAAUCCUUUCAAGGCCUGGUGUGAGAACCUCGGGGUCAAACAGCAUUUCACUUCGGUGGGACACCCCCAAGCCAACGGACAAGCCGAAAACUUCAAUCGCACGCUCCUCCAUGGCCUCAAGACCAGGCUCCACCAGGCUGGAUCGUUUUGGAUGGAAGAGCUCCCCAGUGUGCUGUGGUCCUACCGAACUACGCCGAGAUCAGCAACCCAGGAAACCCCGUUUUCCUUAACCUACGGGUCAGAAGCUGUUGUUCCAGCCGAAUUCAUCACCCCGAGUCCACGAAUGGCCGCAUAUGCUGCCGAAGUCAAUGAAGAAGAACGGCGAGUUGACCUCGACCUCGUCGAAGAGAAGCGUGAUAUGGCCGCGGCCAAAGUUGCUGUUUACAAAAAUAUCGUAGCUGGCUACUACAACGCUCGGGUUAAACAUUUGCGGUUCAGUCCGGGAGACCUGGUGCUCAGGAAGAACUCAGUCAGCCGGGCUGAACCUCAGGGUAAACUAACCCCCAAGUGGGAGGGACCAUACCGUGUUGUUGAGUCCAGCCAAAAUGGAUAUUGUAAAUUGGCAUACCGAGAUGGGUCUCUGAGUGCCCCGAACUUGGCAUGCUGAAAAUCUUAAGUUGUACUACCCUUGAGGGUAUGUGCUUUUAAUCUUGAGUUAUUUCACACUUAUUUUCAUUUCAUUAUAAGUGAAAAAUAAGGGGACAAAGUAGCAGUAAAGAGGAAAACCGAAUUUAAUUAAAAAGAAAGCAAGAAUAUGAACUCAAUUCCAUUGAAUUACAUAAAAGUAGAAAGCCGAGGUCACCUUUAAUUAGGAAGAAAGCAAGAAUAUAAACUCAAUUCCAUUGAAUUACAUAAAAGUAGAAAGCCGAGGUCACCUUUGACCUCGGCCUACAAUGACAAAAAAAAAAACAAGUGCCUCUAGGCACUCCCUACCCUGACAUCCUGGCCCCCCGUGGUCGCGCCACCCGUUUCGGCACCCUGUCCACCCUCAGCUCCUCCACCGGCCUGGUCGUCUUCAGUACCAUCUAGUUCAAACUCCUGGAGCCAUUUGUUGAAUUCGGCUCGGACUUCGGUUAGGUCUUUCUCAGUCCGGAUGCCCUCAGCCAUGCUGUCGCAUAGCUCCUUGGCAUCCUCGUUAUAGUGCGAAGUGCUCUGAAGGGACUCCAGUUGUUCAGAGGGAAGAAAGGAUGCCGCGUCAUUAAUAGCCGACGUGUACCCGAACAUGAAGCUUGGCCGGGUGAGCUCGCCGAGGUCACGGAUGAAGGACUCUGACGUCCGGAAGGCUUCCACAGCAGUGACCCCGGCCUUGUCCAUGGCCUCCCUGUUUGACUGUUCUUCUUGGGCCCUCCUUUUUUUCUCCUCAUCAAGAGCAGUCACCAGGGAAUUGUUCGCGACCUCGGCCCUUUUGUUAGCCGCCUUGGCCUUGUCACGCUCCAACUCGGUUGCCUUCAGUUUUUCUUCCAACUCGGCAAUUCUCUUCUGGAGCUCGGCAGGAGGCUCAUAGUUUUCCAUGAACUUUCCAUACCGUUGAAUCAUCUCGACAAAAAAAGCCGUGGUAGAGGCCCAUGACACCGAGGCGCUCUGCAUCAACUCCCCUGCGGAGAGCUUCCUAGCAUAAGUGCUAUCUCGUGGCAGCACUGAAUGCACCAAGAGCUCCUGAGCGACCAAAGGGUUCUUGCAGCGAUCGUUGAAAUUAAUCUCCCACUCUGGACACCAGUGUGAUCCGGGGUGUCUCUUGUCCUCCUCAGCUGCCUUGAAAGGCACAUGAUGGAGUUUGAACAAAGAUGACCCCGUGACGGGGUUCUCCGGAAAUAUGGUCACACCCUGACCCCGGGGGGGAGUGGCAAUCGUGACCCAGCGAGAAGGGAUUCCCACCGGAAUUGCCGAGGCUCGGGAACCUCCCGGAGUGGCCGAGGUGUGCGAGCCCUCGCCCACGAUCACCACGGCAGGCUCGCGGUCGCCCGACGCCGCGGUGGUUUUCUUAGCCGGCCUGGAAGAGGACCCUGCAGUGUCCUUGCGCUUUUUGGGAGCUCUUUUGACCACCUCGACAUCUCCCGAGGUUAUCAGGUCGAAAAUCUUCGUCACUGCAAAGUAGGAGACGAAGUCAGUUAGAAUUCAAGAGGGAUAAACUAAAAGGGAAGAAAUGGAAAAAUACAAAGUCUGUGAAGCCUAGUCGAGAGUAAGACAGGCUGGUCAGAGCUCGUCAAGGCUCAACUGAUCCCGCCUUCCACGAGCACCACUUCGGGAAAAUCCCAGCAGUUUAUCCUGAGGCCCGACCCCGUUAACUUCUGGAAGUUACGCUCUUCUAACUUCCCUGGAGAUAUCUCCUUGAUCGAGGUGGGAGGCCUCCACCAGAAUCCGCGAGGGAAGUCAUCGGCCGAGACGAAGAAGAAGUUUUGCUUCCACUCCUUUAUUGAGUUCGGAGCAUCAACCACCAACUUCGGAACUUUGUUUCCGAAGUAGAACCAUCCUUUUUCACUUCUGCUGUUCUUGAGUGAGUAACAGCGGCGAAAGAGGUUGACCUAAGGUUGUAUCUCCUGAUGUCGGCAAAGUAGCUGGAAGCCAACGAGAAUGCGAAUAGCGUUAGGGGUGAGUUGAGUGAUUCUCACCCCCCAGUACCUCAGGCAGUCCCGAAGAAACCUCGUCGUGGGCACUCUGAGUCCGGCCUCCAGCUGUUCCUGAUAGAUAGUCACCUUGCCCUUUGGUGGCAGUGCGGCUGACUGAUGCGGUUGGGGUAUGUAAAUACUAUAAUCCCUUCUCCAGGGAUACCUGCGGACCACCUCGGCUAUUGAGGCUUGUCCCAUACCACUACUGAAGAACGGCAUCUGGCCGUAGUCGAGAGUUGCCACGUUUGGAGGAGUGGAAGGUUCUUGUACUCCCUCGUCUCUAGGGAUCUCAAUCCCGAGGUCAUCGUUGUAUAGGACCUCGGGCUGGACCUCGAUCUCCUCGGGCUGCACCUCAACCGCCUCAGCUCGGCGUGAUGCCUCGGCACCUCCACCCUCAGCUUGGUGAGAUGCCUCAGCACCUCCGCCCUCGGACGCGGUCCUUUCCUGGGAGGGGUCAGGCCUCUCUGCCUCAGUGAGGUCAGGUCUCACUGUCUCUUUGUGCGUACGAGCUGUUCUAGCCAUUGUAUCAGAAGGGGAAGAAGUGAACUUACUUAGAAUCUGCGACUGGAAGAAGAUGCCGAAGUAGACGUGGUUUAGAAAGGUUGCCGAAGUGAAAAGAGAAAGAAACAGAGUUCUGGGGUGAUUCUUGAUUUUUGGUGAAGAGUAAAACGGUGAAAAAAGACCACUAUUUAUAGGCCACCAGGGUGAAACCCAAGAGACGGCACCCUCUCUCUUCAUUAAUGGGAGGACUGUUCGUCUGCCAACACAGCUGACAGCCGUCCCUUCAGUUAUCACUCAGUCCCAUCUAUGCGGUCAUGACGUGUCCGUGUUCCGUGUUUUAUACGCUUCUCAGCUUCGGGAAGUAACGACCACGGCGGAUGCCCAUCUCGCCCUUCUCAAAGCUUGGGGGGCUUAGUGAGGAGGGCCAUUUAGGCUCGGAGCGCCCGAGGCCUAGUUCCCCAUCAUUUCCUGAAGUGCCGCCUCGGGUAUUAUCCUGGAAGGCGAUCGCGGCCCAUUUACCACCUCGGCUACAAUGUCAAGUCGUAACACCGAGGUGGACAUUGAAUGACAACUACGAAAAGGGGAGAUGUGAUCUCUGACACCUGAGCAAAGGCUGCUCUGACCCGCCGCCUGAAUCUGACAGAAUGUCCCAUCACGUCUCUUCAUGGAGACCGGUCAAGUCCACCUGAUCCACUGACUAUCUCAGAUCUUUUGGGACCCGUGCAAACAUCUCCUCUCUCCUAUCGGUCCCCUAUAAAUACACAAUAUUUCUACUGAAAAAGGGGAUGACCAAUUUCUGGUAAAACACACUCCACUCAUUACUUACUUCUCUAUAUCCGAACUGACUUAAGUUUCGGAGUUAUACCGGGGGAUCCAGCCCCUUUUCUUAUUCAAGCAGGUGACUUCGUCCAAGAGAGUUGCCCAAGGUAAAGAUAUUCUUCGAAUUGAGGUGACUCACUCCUGCGGGUCGAAAAUCACCUCUUCAAAUGGUAGAAAGUUUUCUUAAGAACCAAGAACAGCAUUAGUAUUCCCUCUGCUUCCAAAAACUUGUGUAUUAAAUAGAUUAAUGAAUUGUUUAACAUGCUCAUCUACUUGAAAAUGCACAAUACCCAUAACCCACUGAAAUUUUUGCAGGAAAAGGGAAAGAGAAUCUGUGUUUGAGAGCUUCAUGAAGAUGUUGAAGAAUAAGAAUAAAAGCCCAAUGCGAGGAUGUUUUCAAGUUUUUCUAUGUCCACUUUAAUUUGUAAAUUGAAUUUUACAACUCAAUUAAUUCCUUGUUUGUGAGGUACGUAUUGUUUUACGUACCAUGCCGUACAUGUUUGUAAGGAUUUCUAUCCUAUUGGCAAAAGUCGGUUCCAUACAAUUAAUCAAUUCAUUUCACUUCUAUUGGCUCUACUAUUUAUGCAUGUUACGACACUCUUUCCCUUAUAUUUUGCCUUUAAUAUUAUGAGUCAAUAGUAAUAAUGGGCCUUUUUCUUAAAAUUAUACUAUUAUACAUAGGUAGUUUGGUCUAACGCUAAAUUCAUGUUUGUCUUUCUUUUAUUCCCUUUACAUCUCAAAGUAUACUAUAGUUUGUAAUCAUUGUGGUGAUGAUAUUACCAGCUGGUACUUAUAGUUUAAGGCAGAGACAUGAUAUUAACAACUAUCUCAUUGAAACAUAAGUCAAAAUCAUGACAAGUGUGAGUCUUGGUUAAUGCACAAUUUGUUAGUGGAAUUUAUAUUUAUAAAACUCAAAAAAAAUUUUUGACAAUGCUAUUACUAAUUAAUUAAGGACUUCAUUGCUAUAAUUUAUCGCUUACUAGUUUAAACUAUAAAUGAUCUCAAUACUUUUCUCCAUGAUGUCGAUUUCUUUAGACUACGAAAGGGAAAAAUUAGUGACAUAUCCCUUACUGAUUACAACAUCAGCAAAAAUUAGUUAUAAACUUUUCCGGUGGUUUUAAAUCCCUCGGGCACUAAGGUUUUUUGCACAUCGAGUGAAUUAAGGAACAUAGGCAAUUCGUUCUGCAUACCAAGUCCUUGUUUAAGAUGCACGUACUAAAAUGCAUCCACUUCAUUAAUUUGGAAAAUUGCCAUAGUUUUUUUUAAGCAUUUUGAUUUUUUACAUGAUUCAAAAUUUUCUUAUUGGAUACAAUCACUUUGUGUCAAGAACACAUUUUCAAUCAUCUUUUUUAUCUUCUCAAUAAGAAAAUAAAAAUUUAUUCAUGCUUUUCUAACAUAUCCAAUCAUUGAUCUGAAAAAUAAAGAAUUAAAAAAAAAAGACAUUUUCAAUCAUUGCUUACAGGGCAACUUCCCCAUGUGAACCUCUUCAAACAAAGCCAAUAAUAUGAAGGAACAUCUAAAUACACUUUUGCCCUAAAGGCUGGUUGCCUUGGGGUCAAAAUUUAACCUUCGGGAGUAUAAUUACCCGCCAAAUUUAUUAUUUUUUAUGGGUAUAUAGUUCCAAUUUUGCCUCCUGUUAAGCUUAUAAAUAUAUUACGACCCAGAAAAUAAAGGAAUCUUGAAUAGUAACAUGUCCAUUGACUUGAGUUGUCAUCAAUUUGGCUACUUCGAUUCCAUGAGGCCAAUCCAAUUCACACUAGCUAGAGAAAAUGGUGAUAAAGGCACUUAGAAAUUUAUAUGUAAUAUUGAUUGGUAGUAACUGAUAAGUAUAUAUUUUACGUGUUUUAAAUAUGUUUUAUUAGUUAGUUUUGGUGUGUUUUAACUACUUUUAUAACUAAUUAACUAGGAAUCUAGUGAAAAUAUGCAUUUUGUGGUUUGAAGUGUGAAAAUUGUAUUUCUAUGGAUUUUAAUGGUGAAAACUUCAUGUUUUUGUAGGUUUAAUGAUUCAAUCAUCAAAUGACAUGAUUUGAGAAGAUAAUUAGAUGAUUGAUGAUGUUUUGAAGUGAUAAAAAGAGAAUACAAAGUGCAAGAGAGGAAAUGCAAUCAAGAAUAAAAGAAGAAAAUUUUUGUAGCUUUGACAUAUUGUGGUAUUUUGGCAAUAUAUUGAGCUACAAUGAUUGGAUUAAGGUGAUUCUUAAACCAUUUGAAGCUAAGAUAUAGAUCUACAUUUGGUAUGAAGGCAUCGAAACCCAUGUCAGUCAUUUUCCUUGUCAAAAUGUUGAAAUACAGAAGUGCAACUCUGUUCUCGAAAGCUAAAACAGAGCUCUGGCUAGUCGAGGGUAUUUUCAUCAUUUCUUAGUCCACAGAGCUCCAAAUGAGAUGAUUCUUAAGGCAUUAGAACCCUAACUCAAAGAGCUACAACUUUCAUAUUUUGUACAAGAGUUAGUUCGGCCUCCAUCAUUCAGAAAAUAGUAGUUGAAGUGGUGCCAAAUGCAUAGAAGUGAAAACGCGAGCUAUCAAUACUCGACCUGAAGUCGCGUAUUCCUGAGGUCAUGCAUUCUCUUCUAUUUUCUGCAACUUGCCCUGCUUUCACAUAAUUUUUUCAUCUCAAUUCCAACUAUCAAUUUCGGCUAUAUCUGAUCAAGAAAAGUGUGGAAAGUUUGAAAGACAACUCAUAGGAGUUUCAAGAGUCAAAAAUUACAAUUAGAAACAACUCAUUUGGCUCUUGAAUCCUCUAUAAAUAGAGGCCUUUGAAGAACAUUUUCACAACUUUGGAAGGUUAGAGAAACUCCACAAAAACAUAGUCUUCACUAGAAUUUCCUUAGUUCAUUAGUUAGGGUAGUAUAGUAUAGUUAGUGUAGCUUUUCCUUCUUGUAUUUAUAGUUAGGUUUGAAUGAAGAUUCAGGAGCAAAGAUAGAGAGGUUGAUCUCAUGUGACAAGGGUGAUAUCUCUUCUACUACUUUCUCUUUUGUAUUUGAUUUCAUAUUUAACUAUACUACAAAUUUGGCUUUGUUUUUUUUUUUUAUCAUGUUUAGUUAAAGUUUAUGCCUAGAGUAUGGAUGACCUUUCUAUAUCUUGUUUGUGAUAUUUAACUGGUUAUUUGAUGAUGUUAUUUUUGAGCAAGUUAUUUAUCACUUUUGCUUUUCUAAUCGUGAUUAACUGGCCAUUAGUUGUGAUUAUCUAAAAGUGUUAAGUUUGUAAUGAGAAUUGGAGUUUAACACUAGUUCAAGGAAGUGAUAAAUUUAGGGAGUUCACUCAUGAGAGUAGAGGAACACCUUUGUGACCUAAGUGACUUGUUUCAUAUAAUUUCAUAGAAAAAAUGAACUUGUAAUUAAUUUCAUAACCACGAGAGUAAGUAUGGUUUAGCUAUAUGUAUAGUUGAUUCACUACGAGAGUAGGUUUCACAUACAUUAGAAAAUUACAUCAUAACUAGUCAAGAUAAUAUCAUUCAUUUAAUCAGUAAUCUCAUUUGCAUGAGUAGUAAGGCAUUCCAUAUCUCUAGGAGGUUUUUAGUAUUAUUUUCAUUACUUUUAUGUUUAUGGUAGUCUAGAUAAUAAUGGAGUUCAAAAACUACUAGUAAUUGAAAAUUUUCCCUGUGGGAUCGACCUUUAAUACCCUAUACUCGCUCUCGACUCGUAUACUUGCGAAAAAUCACGUGUGCGGUAUUUAGAAUUUAUAAAUGUAAAACUUGACUGUAGAUGAACUAAUUGAUAUAUGUAUACCCCGCACUCGUCAGUAACCAGCUUGUAUUGAUCCCAUUAUUGUGGAUAAUUGUGCUCUUAUGAAAAAAAAUUAUAAAAAAAUUAGCAAAAUUUAUGAUAACAAAUUAAAUUUAUUCAUACAAAUCAGUGAAAGAAGUAGAAUUUUAAAGACCAUGAUGAAAUUAAUACUUUCAAGGGCUCUAUUAGGAAGACUUCACUUGUUGGUGAAACUACACUAGCACAGUUAUAUGCACAUUUACUGUUUUGGUAUCUAAUUUCCUUGCCUUAAGUUGGGUGCAGAUGUUUAUAUUACAAAUAGAUGGUAUCAUAAAAUUGUUGUAUUCACGUUUGUUCUUUUUUUUUCUUCCUUAAGUUUUUUUCUUUAUUCUCGUGACUUCAAAAAUACGAACUCAAGAAAUUGGCUGCUUAAUCAAUAUGUCAUACAGGCUUCGCUAGUGAGGUAUAACUUCACAACUAGAGUCAAUAGAAAUUAUCAAAUGAUUUUUUAACAUCCAAAUUAAGCAAUAAAUUUUGUUUUCAUUUUAUGACAUAUAAUAGUACUACUUCAUGAGAGAUUUUAUAGUUUCUUUUAGGUAUCAUACCUACAAGUGAUAUUUGUCAUUGGAUAGUGACAGAAGUGUUAAUGAUUGUAAGAUUAAAUAUUGUUAAAUAUUGAAAUUUAAACUAUUUAUCUUUAUUGAAAGAUACAAGUUAAAGAAUCGUUCAAGGGGGCAAUUUUCCAUCUUGUCUUUUUGAAAAAACGCUAUCACAUUGUAUAGGCAUGAUAGGUUCAAAUUUGUCAUUAAAUUUAUGAUUGAUUUCCCUUUUAUUCAAGCCAAAUAUUGUUUUAAUUAUCAAAUUCUACUUAUAUUUGGUUAAUUGUACUAAUUGUAGGGCGGUAGAGCAAAAGUUGCUAAAAAUAGGUGAUUUUCUGCAAAUUGGUUGUCAAGGCUGAAGGAUUUGGGAUUCGCAUGUUCAAGGCCUGUUUCCAAGUUUGAUUCAAACUCUGGACAGUUUUAGAGGAAGAUUUGGAAGAUUUGAAAUUUCAUUAUUAGUUUUAUGGUUGAAUUAGGAAUCUUGGAAUAAUUUCUUUUGUGAUUUAUUUUUCUAUUUAGGAGACUAGUUGUUAUUUAGUAGUAGACUUCAAUUAGAAAACAAAGAGAAAAAGAAGGCCGGAAUCCCGCUUGAUUAAUACCUUGGCCAGGGAACAAUCUCGGUGGGGAGGACGGCCACUUAGCCUCUCAAUUCAUCUUGCUUUUCGUUAGUUUGAGAGGAAAACCAAUUGCAACUAGAUUCAAUGGAGUCUGGCAGAAUUUCUUCUAGGAUGCGUAGCUAAAUCCUCAAUUUUUAGUCGAAGGUCAAUUUGAAAAUUCGGUUCCAAAUAUCUGUGAAAUCGAAUUAUUUUACUUAUUUCUUUUAUUUAUUGGUAUUCGCACGUUUUCUGAUUUAACUUUUUAUGAUUGUUUUGUUAUUUGAAUGUCAAGGGUCCGAUAUUCGAAUUAACUUAAUAAUCUACUGCCAAAUUAACCGGUUAAAUCCGUAAUUGUUUGAUUGAUUAAUAUCAGUGGCGACUAGCGUGAUUGGUCCCAUGUUAGGAAAACGUCUGAUCUAAUUUAAACAAACCGUCGUAGCGUGUUUGUUGAUUAGGGUUGGACUUUUCUAAUUCUUAAUUCAAUUGAGAAAUUAAAUCUCCCGGUCGUACCUAAGAUUAUUUUUUUGUUAGCGAAAUAGUUAAUGGUCGUACCUUGACUAUCGAAAAAGUAAGGAAGAGUUGAUUGUUUAUCGCGUGUACGACAACUAUAAUCAAUCUAUUAAUGAGUAAUUGAAUUAUCUUUGCAUCAGUAAUCAGUUGAAUGGACCGUGUCUGAAAAGUUGUACCUUUGGCUAGAGUCUUAUCUGUUGUUGAUUCAUUCAUAUCUAUCUUCAUGCGUUGUUUUAAUUUAGUUAAUUAGUUAUUUUUAUAAAAACCCCUCAUCUCUGGACUCUAAAAGAAAUAAAUUAUUUCUAGUUCCUGUGGAUUCGAUCCUACUCACCGCUAUAUACAAAAUUUGUAUUUUUUUGAAUAAAUAAUUAUUAUUACACAGGCUUGACACCUGUCAAGGCAAAAUUUCCUUAACUUCAUCAUCUGUAGACGUAAACUUUCUACGGGUGAUAUAAUAUAAGGAAAUUUUGCCUAUACGAUGUGAUAGCAUUUUUUCAAAAAAGACAAGAUGGAAAAUUGCUCCCUUGAACGGAAAAAAUCAUGAUCUUUCCUCAAACUAGUCUACUAGUCAAUUCUUUACAAAAGAAUACUCGCUCCUAAACAUAGCCUGUUCAUCUACACUGUCCCGCAGAAUUCUAGAAAGUUAGGCAAAACUAGACAAGUUGACAGGUAUAAUCAUACCCAAGAUCAGGAACAAGCAGUUGCACAUUUCAAAAUUCGCUGCUGCAACAGCUAAUUUGAUGACUUACAACACUACACGGUCAAACUUUGAAUGGCAAUGGAUCUUUUGUUGUACGUCAUGAUGUAAUUUUCAUGUUACAUACAUUAAUAGGUUGAUAUCUAUAUUCUUUAAAUUAUCAUGAUAAUACCCUUAAUUAGAUUUAACUGAUAAAAAGAACACGUGUUAAUAUACAAAAGUGUGUAACGUGAAUGUUACAUUACUGUAUUGCAGAAGACCUAUAGUCUCUUCAUAUCUCUUCCUGCACGUAUCAAUUCGUUUCCUCUAGAUAAUAAUCUCCCAACUCGUUUCUUUACAAAUGCACCUUUUAUGUUUUAUUACCUCCAAAAGCCUUUACAGGGUCUUUACCCUAAAAAUCAAUUCACCGACUCGCAUUUGAUGUCAGAAAUUCUUAAGACGAAUUCUACUUUACUCAAAGAUUGACUGUUAAUAAUGAGACAGCGACCAUUUUGUAUUAUUAGACCGUCCUUCUUGAUAGGUAAAAGAAAUAGAGAGGAAAGUGGGUCCGUAUAUGGUCUUUUAUUCAUAGAUAAUACAACAUUACGCCAUCGAGCAUUCACACAAUAUUUCAAAGUCAUAGCAUGCCUAAGGCCCUGUUUGAUAGCUCAAUUUCGUAAUUAAAUUUAAUAGAUUCAAAUUUUAACACAUUUAAAUCAUUUGAUAACAAAAAAUUGAAUAUUUAAAUUAAUUAAGUAACACUGAACUUUCUAAACAAAACUUGCUUUCAAAAUUAAGUGAUAAGUUAUUCACUUAUCUUUGAAUGUGAUAUGCACUCAAAUAUAUUAAAUUUAAUAAUUUAAUGGAUUCAGAUUUCAGAUUUCAGUUUUAUUACACACCCUAAGUUGCAAAAUAAUACCAAAACUUGUUAUUAUAUAGCUUGAGAUUCAAAAAUUUAGAGCAUAAUUCUCAACCUAACACAAUCGAAUAAUGAAUAUUCACGAUUGUUUCAAAGUACAAUUUGAGGACAACCCAUUCCAACGCGUACACGAUUUUUAACUUUUCUAAAGUUGUUGAGAGCUGUUAAAAGAGAUUUACCAUGUUUACAUCUUCCAAGUCUUGGAAGUGAAAAAUGAAGCCACUGAGUGCUAUAAAAAGGGGGCUAGAGGCUGCCUAGAAGCAUAUCAGCCUAAAACAAGAAUUUGUAGUAACAAUGGGGAGCAAAGCAAAAGCAACGGGGUCUAGGCUGACUCCUCUUCUUACCACUGUUUUAGUGGUAUUUGUCGCCCUUGGCUUGCCCUUGGAAACUGCAGCUGAUUAUUACAAGUAUUCAUCUCCUCCUCCUCCUCCUUACCACUAUUCUUCACCACCACCUCCAGUGUAUUCACCUCCACCAACCCCUGCUUAUAAGUUACCCCCACCAUCUCCUCCAGUUUACAAGUCCUCACCACCACCUUACCACUACUCACCACCUCCGGUGUAUUUACCUCCACCAUCUCCAGUUUACAAGUCACCACCACUACCCCCUCCGGUAUACAACUCCCCGCCUCCACCAGUGUACAAAUACAAGUCCCCACCACCACCUCCUCCAGUUUACAAAUCUCCAUCGCCACCAGUUUACAAAUACAAGUCACUCCCACCACCUCCUCCGGUAUACAAGUCUCCUCCGCCACCUGUUUACGAGUACAAGUCUCCUCCACCACCUCCUCCAGUGUACAAGUCCCCACCACCUCCAGUUUACAAGUACAACUCACCUCCACCUCCUCCCCCAGUUUACCUGUCUCCACCUCCACCCUAUCAUCACUACUACGGUUCUCCUUCUCCUCACCACUACUAAGCAAGUGCAUAAGUUUUGAGGUAAUAAUACCUAUCCAAAACUUUAUCAACACAAACUGCCAUGUAUAUUAUCAUGCUAAGGACGUACACUUGAUCCAUGAAAAUGACUAGUAGAAGAUUUUUUUUAAGAACCAAAGAAAUACAUUAUUUUUUCGGUCUGUUUUCAAGAAUUUGAGCAGUAUACAGAUUAAAGAGUGUUUUUUUUUUUGUAAACUUGCUUGUCAACUUAAAAAUGCACAUAGCUGAAAGCCAACUGAAUAUUUGCAGGCAAAGGAGAAGGCAAUCGGUGUUUGAGACCUUCAAGAAGAUGUAGAAGAAUAAGAAUAAAAGCCCAAUGCGAGGAUGAUUCCAAGUUUCUACGUUACCAUUUCUACAUCUAAAUUGACUUUAGCUCCUGAGUUCCAUGUUUAUGGGGUUUGUACCGUUUUACGUACCAUGCAGUACAUGCUUGCAAGGUUUUCUGUCCUGUUGGCAAACUGCAGGUCCAUAUAAUAAAUGAAUACUAUUUACAUUACGACACUUUUCUCUUUUUCUCUUAUAUUUUGUCUUUAAUAUUGUUGAUCAUUUUUUUUUUAUCAAAAGCAUCAAAUGCUUAGGUAAUUUGGUCUAAUGCUAAUUGUUUUACUUUUAUUUUUCACCUACACCCCUUUUCAACUCAAAGGAUGCUAUAGUUUGUGAUAAUUGUUUAAGACCGAAGCAUGAUACUAAUAAAUAUCUCAUUGAAAGUCAAGGAAACUAACAUUAGGAAAAGUUUAAAUCUUGAUUUGAUGAAACUAUUUAUUCGUGGAAUUUAGAGAUACAAAACUCAAAUUGUGACGGUGUUGUUGCUAAAUUAUUAAGGACAUUAUCACCAUUAUUUUUCCCUGAUCACUAGUUUCAACUGCAAUGAUCUCAAUCUUUUUGUGACUAAUUCUUUCCUUAAUAAUUUAUAAAGACAAAACUCACAAAGAAUAUGUGACUAAUUCUUUCCUUUCGUCUUCUAAAGAAAAUGCCAACUGUUAGUUUAUCAAGGGGAAAAAGGAUCGACAUCAGUUAUUAUUGAAACUAGUAAGGAAUAAAUAAUGGUGAUAAUGUCCUUAAUAAUUUAACAACAGCACCAUCAGAAUUUGACUUUGAGCUUCGGUCUUAAACAAUGAUCACAAACUACAGCAUCCUUUGAGUUGAAAAAGGAAGUAGGUGAAAAGAAAAGUAAAAAAUACAAUUAGCAUUCCCUCAAAUUGUAGAAAGUUAGGUAGCAUUAUAGACAAGUUGAUAGCGGCAAUUUUACAUUUCAAACUUCACCUAUUCAAUAACUAAUUCGAUGGCUUGCUACAUGGUCAAUCUUUGGACCCCUUCCUGCCUCCAGAUAUCCCUUUCCUCAAUCAGGGGCUUCUACAAUUACCAGUUUCAAUUGUAUGGUAUAGUGUAAAUAUCAACAAAUUAGAUGUAGAUGCUAACAUAAUAAAUGUGAAUGCUAAGACAGCAACAUACAAUCGAACCUGCAAUUGUAUGAACCCCAAUCUCGCUUCCUAGUCCACCAUCUUUCUCUAGGUAAUAAUCUCCCUUCUAAUUUAUUCACAAAAUGCACCUUUCAUCACCUCCAAUAGCGUCGACAUGAUCUUUACCCUAGAAGACUAUUCACCGACUCUCAAUUGACGUCAGAAAAUCUAAGAGUAAUUCUACUUUACCCUAAGAUUGAUAUCAACAAGACAAGGACAAUUUAGAAUUAUUACACGCCUCUUCUUAAUAGGAAAAAGAAAUAGAGAAGAAAGUCAGGCCAGGUCUAAUUUCUUUUCAAAGGCAAUACAACAUUACGAAAUCAAGCAUUCAUUCAUACAAAUAUUUCAUAGUCACCGGUUUGCUGAGUAGAAAAAUUUAGACAAAAACUUAAUAUUAUAUUGUUUAAGAGUUAACAAUUUAGAGCUUAAUCUCCUUGUACUUUGGAGUUAACAAUUUAGAGCUUAAUCUCCUUGUACUUUGGACUAAACUUGAACGUGAAAGGAAAUCCCAAAACCAUAUUGGGCAUGAAUUCACACUUAAUAUACCCAAUAAAAGAUGGCGACUGGUGAAAGGCAGUGGAGACUGGUGGAGAGAUUUGAGGAAUAGAAGCAGACGGAAAAGCAACAAAUUUUUGCCGAAAAACGGUCACUUUCAUGGUUAAUUUUGCUACUCUCCAAUUGUACUUGACCAAUUACAACAAUUUCAUGGAGUUUGAUACGUGAAAAGAAUUUUUUAUAAAUUUUAUUUUGAUCCAUAAUGUUAUCUUUACAUAUAUAAAACAUUUUACAAUUUUGAUUUUGGCGCAGCUAACUUUUGGUUAACAAAAAUGCUCAUGUUUAAAAAACCAGAAAUAAAACAAAACAAGAAACAAAAGAAAUAAGAGGGUAGCAUAGACAUUUUGGAUUUUUCCGUUAAUUUGGAUGAUUUCCACCCACGUUCUAAUUUAAUCCAAAACACAAAGGAAUUACGUAGAGGUUUUAAAUAAUGAGGGAGCUUCAUGAUCGAACCCCAAACCACAAGGCGAUUUACUAUAUUUUACUCUUAAAUUUUGGUUUCAUCUCAUAGCAUACAAGAGUUCUAUUUCACUAUCUGUAGACAAAGACUUUCUAUGGUUGAUGUACCAUAGGAAAAAAUCUGCCUAUACAACGUGAUAGCAUUUUUUCAAAAACACAAGAUGGAAAAUUGCCCCUUAAACGGGGAAAUUCAUGAUCUUUCGUCGAACAAAGAAUACUCACGCCUAUUCAAGAUGGAAAAUUGCCCCCUUAAACGUCUAUUUGUCAAUUCUUGAAAAAAGAAUACUCACGCCUAAAACACGGCCUCUUCAUCUGCAGAAUUCUAAAAAGUUAGGUAAACUCUAUAAACAAGUUGAUAGGUACAAUCGUACCCAAGAUCAAGUACAGAUAGUUGUACAUUAACUGCUGCAAUAACUAAUCUGAUGACUUAUAAACAUAUCAUGGUCAAUCGUUGAAUGGUAAUGAGUCUUUUGUUAUGCAUUAGUAUUAGUGUGUACACUCUAAUAGAUUGAUACUUAUACUCUUUAAAUUAUCAUAAUAAUACCCUUAAUUAACUUUAACUCUUAAAAAGAAUACAUGUUAAUACACGAGUGUGUGUAACCUGAAUUGUUACUUAUAAAUUAGUGUGUAAUAGAUAGGGAUGGCAAUGGGGGCGGGUGCCCGCGGGGGGCUCUCGGGGCGGGGGUUGGGGCGGGGGGGAAUUUUUUCCCCCCGUUUAGAAAUGGGGCAGGGGACGGGGGAGUAUACCCCCGCCCCAUCCCCCGCAAAAAAAAAAUUAUAUAUAAUAUGUAAUUUAAUUAGUUAUAAACUUAUGAUAAUGAUAUUAUUAGUUAGAUGUAUUAUAUAAUGUAUAUUAGUGUAUGUAAUAUAAUUAAUAUUAUCAAUUAUAUGAAUAAUUAGACAUGUCUACUAAUAGAAUUUAUGAAUUAGUUAUACUAAAUUUACUAAUACAUUUAUACUAAAUUUCUAAUUACACUUAAUAGAAUAACACUUUUUUCUAAAACAAAAAAGCACAAACACAAUAAUGAAUUAGUGAUUGUAUGAUAGGGUGUAAUUUUACUAUUUAUUUUAUUAUUAAUUUCCCCUAUCACCUGACCUGAUGUGGAUUAAUUGCUGGAUUCUGCUCACUUUUAGUACUUUGUAUUUAUUUCAGGGAGUAGAACGGAAAUUUGAUAACAGGUGCUAAUUUGGCAGAAAAAGAGUCCAGAUGAUAGAGCUUGCCCCAAGGGCAUUUUUGGAAAGGAGAACUUGUGCCCAUCUUGGUAAUUUGGGAGAAAAGGGAAACAGACAAAAUGGGUCUAACAUGGAUUGGAAGCGGCCGCACAGUAGCAGGGAAGAGGGCAGACGUAAAAGCAAUUGCAGGGGGGAAAAGGAGUUUUUUUAGUUUUUAGCUUAGCAUCUGAUUUUCCCUGGGAGACUUUUGUUAAAGAUUUCCUUUUGGCUGAUAUUACGCAUGGCAGAUGGCUUUUAACUUAUUCCUCCAUCUUUGACUUUUCUUCUUUAGCUUGUGGCAGUGGAUUGCUACUUACGAAUGUCAGCACUUAGCCAUUCGUGGCUUUUGAUCUUUUCUUCCUUAGAAAUUCUGAGUAACCUCUUUUCCUUUGUGCGCCAGACGAAGUGAAAACUAUAAACUUUUGUAGUUUUUCUAUUCAUUCAAUAUAUUGAGACGAGUUGGAUUCUACCAAAUUUCAACGGACAUGGCCGCUGGUUUCUCUUCAAUUUUAUAUGGGCUUUGUUCAUCCAACAUGAACUAAUUUCACCACUCUAGUCAAGGAGCAACGAAGGCUCUGAUUUGCCUAAAAAUUGUGAGAUCGUUUUAAUUUAAUCUUUUCCUUUUAUUUAUUGGUAUCCGCACAUUUCUUGAUUGCUAUGCUUAUGGUUAUUUAAUUAAUUGAUUGUCUUGGAUCCAGAUAAUUAAUUGAUCUGAUAGCCUAUUGUCAAUUAGGGCAUUUAAAUCCGUAAUUGUUUAAUUGUCCUGAAAUAGUGACAACUGGCACGAUUAGAUUCGUGCCAGGGGGGAUAUGCGGGCUAAUCUAAAAUAACCCUGGUAGUGUGUUAUUUGGUUAGAAUAGGGCUCCUCUAAUACUAAGGCAAUUGGGGAAUUAAAUUCUACGGGCGUACCUAGGAUUAUUUCUUAAUUAGAGCAGUGAUUAACGGGCGUACCUUGAUCACCGACACAGUAAGGAGGGGUUGACCGUCAUCGCUUGUUUGGCAGUUAUAACCUAUUUAUCAGUAAAUAAUUGGGAUUGCCUUGCAUCAAUGAUCAAUUAGGUGAACCAUUGUUGAAGUUACUUCUUGGUUAGAUCUUUAGUUAAUAUUACCUUGAUUUUGGUGAAUUGCCAUUUGAUUUUUAGUUGCCUACUUUAUUUUAUUUUUAAUUGUUUCCUUGCUUUAAUUGAGUUAGGCCUUUAAUUAUUGUUAUUCUAAGUUUAGUGAAUUGUGGUUUAAUUCCUAAUUAGUUAUUUAUUUUUACUUUCUUAUUUGAAUUUAUUUGCUUGUUAUCAUUCCUACGAAAUCACCCCCCUGUGUUACUUUGGAUUUCUUAAGAAACAAAUAUACCCAAUCCCUGUGGAUACGACCCUACUUGCUCUGUUCACGAAUUCAUAAUUAUUUGUGAAAAGAAAUAACCAUUCCACUCGGGUAUAUCGGAUCAAGCAAAUUCUUCGGGAACAGGGUGAAUCAAGUAACCCAAUGCACACCUAGAGUCCCUGCUCCAGUACUUGGAAUUGGGUUUUGGUCAUUUUAACUGGCAAUUAGGUUUAAUUUUAUUAUUGCACAGGCUGACGACCCUGUCAAUUUUUGGCGCCGUUGCCGGGGACUGGCGUUAUUAUUUGUUUCUUUUUAAAUUCAUUCUUUGUCCUAAUUUUCUGGUUUUCUUCUAGUGUAUGCCUCGAUCUUCUCGUACAGGUAAUUUGAUUUUUGACCCUGAGGUAGAGAAGACCGCAUGUAGAACGAGAAAGGAAACCAGACAGCUCAGAGAAGAGCACUCCAGUGCUACAUCUCAGAGACCCGAGUCAGAAGUUGAACUAACAGAUUCGUUUGGUAACACUUCGAGUGACUCUGACCAGGAGGAAGACACCAUGGCUAAUGCACGAACAUUAAGGGAGUUGGCUGCUCCUGAUUUAACUCAGCAGCCUUUAUGCAUUACUUUCCCCACUUUAAAUGAUAACAUUCCAUUUGAACUAAAAUCUGGUCUGAUUCAGCUUUUACCCUCUUUUCAUGGUUUACCAGGUGAAGAGCCGUAUAAGCAUCUGCAGGAGUUUGAUGUCGUGUGUAAUAGUAUGAAACCCUCGGGAAUCACAGAAGAGCAGAUAAAAAUGAGGGCAUUCCUCUUCUCCUUGAAAGAUUCUGCGAAGGACUGGCUGUACUACCUGUCACCAGGUAGCAUCACCACGUGGGACCAAUUGAAGAAAAAAUUUUUGGAUAAAUAUUUUCCUGCGUCCAGGGCUGCAAGUCUAAGGAAAGAAAUUUGUGGGAUCAAGCAGCAUCCAGGGAAGUCACUUUAUGAGUAUUGGGAACGGUAUAAGAACUUGUUGCGCAGGUGCCCCCAACACCAAAUAAGUGAGCAAUUGAUCAUACAGUAUUUUUAUGAGGGGCUCCUUUUUAGAGACAGGAGCAUCAUUGAUGCCAGGGGGGAGGGUUGGGAUGGGUGGUACGGGGGGAGGGAGUGUAAGCAAGAGGUCUCGGGUUCGAGUCCUCCCGCUUACACACAAAAAAAAAGAUGCUGCAAGUGGAGGGGCACUGGUAAACAAAACCCCUCAGGAAGCACGGGAGUUAAUAGAGGGGAUGGCAGAGAAUUCACAACAAUUCAGUACAAGAGAGGAUGUCCCAAUACGUAAGGUGAAUGAGGUAGAGACACCCUCUAUGCAGCAGCAGCUAACUGAGUUGACCGCGUUUGUUAGGCAACUGGCUGUGAGAAAUGCAUCACAAGCCAGGGUGUGCGGGAUUUGCACUGGUAUGGGUCAUUCUGCAGACAUGUGCCCAAUGAUUCAGGAAGAAACUGCAGAACAGGUGAACAUGGCUGACCACGCGCCCGCGCCAAGGAAGCAGUACGACCCUUACUCAAGCACCUACAACCCCGGGUGGAGAGAUCAUCCCAACCUCAGUUAUGGAGAAAAUAGGCAGCCCAACAUUACACCGAACAGGCAGUCUAACUUUGUGCCAAAUAGGCCACCAGGGUACCAGCAGCAAUAUCAACCCCGACCACCUCCGUCCCCAAGCUCUGGCCCAUCUUUGGAGGAGAUGAUGAAACAAAUGAUGACAACUAUGGCUCAAAAUCAGCAAAUGACGGAGGCAACCAUUAUGCAAAAUCAGCAAAGGACGGACUCCGAAAUGAAGGAUAUAAGGAAUCAGAUAAGUCAAAUGGUCACAACAAUCAACCGUUUGGAUUCCCAGAACCAAGGUAAAUUGCCAUUUCAGCCCGAAUUAAAUUCGAAGAACGUGAGCGCAAUGACCCUAAGGAGCGGGAAAGAAAUUCAGGGGUCUGAACCUGUGAUCCCUAAGGAUAAGGAUGAGGAAAAGAUCGAAAAUGAGCUUGAAAGGGAGGACAGCAAUGGUGCAGAUCUAAAGGUACUUCCUGACCCAAUAAUUACAGCUAAAACUAACCCGCCUCCUUUUCCUAGCAGGUUGGAAAAAUCGAAAAAAGAGGAUAAGGAGAAGGAGAUCUUGGAGGUUUUUCGCAAGGUUGAGAUAAAUAUCCCCCUCUUAGACGCAAUCAGACAAGUACCAAAAUAUGCCAAGUUCCUAAGGGACUUGUGUGUCAACCGAAGGCAGUUGAGGGAAGAUGAACGGGUUAUUGUUGGGGAGAAUGUGUCAGCAGUCCUGCAGAGAAAGCUCCCACCAAAGUGCGGGGACCCAGGUAUGUUUACUAUUCCCUGUAGGAUAGGUAAUACUGUGAUAGAAGGGCCAUGUUGGAUCUGGGAGCAUCAAUUAAUCUCAUACCUAAAUCUAUCUAUGCUUCUCUAAAAUUAGGUCCAUUAAAAGAAACUGGAAUAAUCAUUCAAUUAGUUGACCGAACUAAUGCAUAUCCUGAUGGGUUGGUUGAAGAUGUGUUGGUAAAAGUUAAUGAUUUGAUGUUUCCAGCUGAUUUUUAUGUACUUGAUAUGGAUGAUGAUCACUCCCCUGAUCCCUCACCUCUGUUAUUGGGUAGACCCUUUAUGAGCACAGCACAGACGAAAAUUGAUGUUAAUAAGGGUAUCUUGUUCAUGGAGUUUGAUGGGAAAAUUGUGCAUUUCAAUAUCUUUGAUACUAUGAAAUAUCCCUCAAACUCCAACUUUAGCACAGUUUUCUCUGUGAGUGCUAUUGACCCUGUAGUGCAGGAAGUGUUUGAAACUGAUGGCAGGGAUGAGUUGGAGGUGGCUUUGACCAAGCACCUCGAGUUGGAGACAACUCCUGAGGUGGAAUGGAGCGAGGACCUAAAAUGCACAAUAGGUGCAUUACACUCAUUGCAGUCCACCACGAAAAGGUAUGAAGUCUUACCUAUUUUUACUCCCGAACCUCACCAGAGGGUGUUGCCAUCUGUGGUGCAGGCACCUGUACUAGAAUUUAAACCUCUAUCAGAGCACCUGAAAUAUGCAUAUCUGGGUGAUAAUGAGACACUCCCGGUGAUUAUCUCAUCGACACUGUCAAAAAUCCAGGAGGAGAAACUGAUCCGGGUCCUUAGAGAGCAUAAAGAGGCGAUAGGUUGGACAAUCGCAGAUAUUAAGGGGAUCAGCUCGGCCAUCUGUAUGCACCGGAUUAGACUAGAAGAGGAUGCCAAACCUGUUAGGCAGGCUCAAAGGAGGCUCAACCCCCUAAUGAUGGAAGUUGUAAAGAAAGAAAUUUUAAAAUUGCUAGAUGUGGGGAUUAUUUUUGCAAUAUCAGAUAGCCCUUGGGUAAGCCCGAUCCAGGUAGUCCCAAAGAAGGCAGGGGUGACGGUGGAGGCAAACCAAACGGGUGAGCUCGUGCCAGUGCGCAAACCCACUGGAUGGAGGCAGUGUAUAGACUACCGUAGGCUAAACGCCGUCACCAAAAAGGACCAUUUCCCUCUCCCUUUCAUUGACCAAAUGGUUGAACGUUUAGCUUGUAGAGCUUAUUAUUGCUUUUUGGAUGGAUUUUCAGGAUACUUUCAGAUAGCAAUUGCUCCAGAGGAUCAAGAGAAGACAACCUUCACGUGCCCGUUCGGGACCUUUGCUUAUAGACGAAUGCCAUUUGCGUUGUGCAAUGCACCUGCAACAUUCCAGAGGUGUAUGGUAAGUAUUUUUUCUGAAUAUGUGGAGAAAAUUAUUGAAGUUUUCAUGGACGAUUUCAGUGUGUAUGGUGAUAGUUUUGAUACGUGUUUAGAUAAUCUGAAAUUGAUCCUGAUAAGGUGUAUAGAGACUAAUCUUGUGCUUAAUUGGGAAAAAUGUCAUUUUAUGGUUGAGCACGGGAUAGUCCUGGGUCAUAUUGUAUCGUCUAAGGGCAUAGAAGUUGACAAGGCUAAAAUAGAUAUUAUUUUUGCAUUACCUUACCUCGCGAGUGUGCGGAAGGUGCGUUCUUUUCUUGGACAUGCAGGUUUUUAUCGAAUGUUCAUCAAGGAUUUUUCAAAAAUUGGAGCCCCGUUAUUCCAACUCCUACAAAAGGAUGUGACCUUCGAAUUCGAUGAUAAGUGUGAGGAAGCCUUCAACAAGUUGAAAGAAUUGUUGACCUCACCCCCAAUUAUCCAGCCCCCUGAUUGGAGUCUACCAUUUGAGAUCAUGUGCGAUGCCAGUGAUCAUGCCGUAGGGGCUGUAUUGGGGCAAAGAGUAGGGAAGGCAGCUCACGUCAUCUACUAUGCAUCCCGAGCAUUGAAUGGAGCCCAAUUGAAUUACUCCACUACUGAAAAGAAGCUUCUUGCAGUUAUUUUUGCUUUAGAAAAAUUCAGGUCAUAUUUGCUAGGUGCUAAAGUAAUUGUAUUUUCUGACCAUGCAGCAUUAAGGUACCUAAUGACCAAGAAAGAUGCCAAACUGAGGCUCAUUAGGUGGAUAUUGCUACUGCAGGAAUUUGACCUGGAGAUACGGGAUAAAAGGGGCUCAGAGAAUUUAGUAGCUGACCAUCUGAGUCGUAUACCCGUUGGAGAGGAUAAUGAACCAUUGAGGGAUGCGUUCCCUGAAGAGCACUUAUUUUCUUUAAAUUCUCAGUUGCCUUUGUAUGCCGAUCUGGUCAAUUAUUUGGUAACUGGUAAUUUUCCUGCAGGUUGACCAAAAUCGAAGAGGGAUAAAUUGAAGAGCGACGCCAAGUAUUUUAUUUGGGACGACCCGUACCUAUGGAAGAGGUGUGCAGAUCAAGUGAUGCGGAGAUGUGUAAGUGAAAUGGAAUUUCAAUCGAUUUUAGCUUUUUGUCAUACUUUUGCCUGUGGAGGUCAUUUGGACCCAAGAGAACUGCUCAUAAGGUUUUAGAAAGUGGAUUUUAUUGGCCUUCAUUGUUUAAGGAUGCCUAUGUGUUUUGUAAGUCAUGUGAUCGCUGUCAAAGGGUAGGUAAUAUACCCCGUAGAGAUCAAAUGCCCCAAGUCCCGUUGAUUUUUAUUGAAAUUUUUGAUGUCUGGGGUAUAGAUUUCAUGGGGUCUUUUCCUACUUCAUUUGGUUUUUUAUAUAUUUUGCUGGCAGUUGAUUAUGUGUCUAAAUGGGUGGAGGCUAAGGCCACUCGAACUAAUGACUCGAAAGUAGUUGCAAAUUUUGUCAGGUCUAAUAUUUUUGUGCGAUUUGGAAUGCCUAGUGCUAUUGUCAGUGAUAGGGGAACGCACUUUUGCAACAAAAUCAUAGCUGCGUUGUUUCGCAAGUAUGGUGUACUCCAAUGGGUCUCAACGUCGUACCACCCUCAGACCAAUGGUCAAGCGGAGGUGUCGAAUCGAGAGAUCAAGUCUAUCUUGGAGAAAAUGGUGCGCCCCGAUAGGAAAGACUCGAGUCAAAGGCUGGAGGACGCACUUUGGGCCUAUCGGACGGCGUACAAGACUCCUAUAGGGAUGUCACCGUACAGGUUGGUAUUUGGGAAGCCGUGUCACCUUCCAGUGGAGUUUGAGCACAAAGCUUUUUGGGCGAUAAAGUAAUGCAACAUGAAUUUAGAGGAAGCCGGUGCCCAACGAAAGUUGGAUUUGCAAGAAUUAGAAGAGAUCCGGAACGAGGCUUACGAAAAUGCACUAAUUUAUAAGGAGAGAAGCCGGAUAUUUCAUGAUCAACAAAUUUCAAGAAAAUCCUUUGAAGUUGGUCAGAAGGUCCUACUAUACCAAUCCAGGCUCAAGCUAUUCCCAGGUAAACUACGUUCCCGUUGGAUUGGACCUUUUCUUGUUACUCAUGUUUUUCCAUAUGGUGCAGUUGAAAUCCGGAGCGCUAAAACAGACAACAAAUUUGUGGUGAAUGGACACCGUCUCAAGCAUUACUACGAAGGAUUUUCAGGUGAAAAGGUGGAGACAAUAAGUCUAGACGCGCCACCGUGUCCUAAUCAGUGACAUUUUACUAUGUCUAGCCAAAGACAUUAAAGACAGGCGCUCAUUGGGAGGCAACCCAAUUGUCCCUUUUAAUUAUUUGUUUGAUUUCGUGUGAUAGUUUAAAUAUGUUUUCCUUGAAUUCGACUGAUUUUGGGUUUCAGUUUUCGUUUUUGCUGAAUUGUAGGUGACCUUCAGUCUUGACGCGCCCGCGUGAUGACAUGCAGGAAGCUCACGAUCAGAAUCGUCUGAAAGCUCUCUUGCCCUUUUGACGCACCCGCGUGAUGACGUGCAGGAAGCUCACGAUCAGAAUCGUCUGAAAGCUCUCUUGCCCUCUUGACGUGCCCGCGUCACGUUCGCAGGAAAGGUACGGGUUUCAAAAAUUUAAAGAAAAAAUAAUAAUAAUAAUAAUUUAAAAUUUUGAAAUUAACUUCCGUAAAAAAAAAAAAGAAGAAAAAAAAUUUCACCGUGGCUUAAAUAGAGCCUAAAGAAGAGAAAAAAGAAACAAUUUCUUUCUUUUUUUUUUCUUUUUCUUCUUUCUUCCUUCUUUCUUUCUUUCUUCUUUCUCUUUUCCCUCUCUCUUCUCCCCUGUUUCUUCUCCCCUGUCCGUCGCCCGUGCGCCCCAUCGCUGCUCCACCUCCACACGCACGCCGACGCUGCGAGCCACCUGCGACCCCAGCGCCAGAUCUGGACCAUCGCCGAAACCCGCAGCCUCCGCCACCUCCACCUGAGCUCUGCCUCGCGCGCAACCCAGCUGCUCUGCGCCCGAAGCUCCACCGCCGCCACAGCCUCCCCACGCAGCUCCCUGCUCACGCGGCCACAAGCCCAUUGGAAACGGGACAGAGACUGCCGCCGAGCCACUUGCCCGCGUGACCGCCGCUGUUUUCCACCACCUCCCUCACGCGAGCUCUUUCCCUCUCAGCAGCAAUCCACUUCACAGCGCACCCGCUGCGCGCCGUCGCAGCCCUCGCAGCUCCAGCCCGUCUGGUCUAGUCCGCCGCGCGCACCAACCACCCACGGACGCUACCCCCAUCGCUAACCCACGCGGCCUCCACUCCAGUCUGUCCGCCGCCGCUGCUCGUGUCUCCCUUGCGCACCUCACGCCACCCGCUACUGUCCCCUUCCGUUUGGUUAGCAUCCACGGUGGAGGUAAUUGGAGGUUAUUUUCUCAAUUGUGUGACUUCCGCCUGUGAUACUGGUUGCAUUAUUUUUGCUGGGAAUUGCUACUUCUUUUGGGUUGGGUUCAACUGUGCAAUUAAUUGGCCAACUGGAGCCAUUUGUUGGGAUUUUGGGUGAGCUGAAAUACUGCAUUUGUGUGUUACAUUGGGAGGUUUAUUGGGUACAUUCUAACCGCUGUUUUCCAUUGUUACUCUCGCUGGGGUGUCUAUUAAAUUGCGAUUGAAGUAUUUUGGAUAUUGCAUGUUGAGAUUGAGGUUUCAUUGAAUUUGGCCUACGUUCUGCCCCCAGUGGUACUGGUGGGAAUAUUUUCAAUUGAAUUUGUUACCUCUAGUUGGUUGGCUACAUUAUUAUGGUCGAAUUCCUAAGUUGUCGUCAUUGCAUUUGUUGAUCUUGAUUUGGGGCAUUAACCGGCCAACUGGAGCCAUCUGUGCGUUUUUAGGCGCUAUUAUUGGUUUCUUCUCCCUUAACUUUGUCAACUAUAUUUGGUUGGGUAUUUGGUUGACUGCCACGGACUUGUAACUGUGUUUUGCUUCUAAUUGACCAGUUGCACAGCAGUUUUUUUUUAAUUGAUAGGGUGGUUAUACCUCUGGAUAUUUGUAUCCACUGGUUUGAGGACAUGGUGAGACCAAAAUCCUCCUCUAGGUCUAGGACCCCUAGAACCUCGCAAUCCCAACCCCAAGCCUCUACUCUAGUCAAUACCCCUAUAAAUCAACCUACUGCUCCCGGUGUCCGAACCUGGUUAGGUAGGGGUAGAGGUGCCCACGUGGCUUCCGCCACUCACUUGGGAGGGCAUUUGGAAUUCACUAGAGCCGCCGAUCAGCGACGCUAUGCUCAAGCUUGUGAGCGGCGUAUCAUUCCGUGCAAAUGCGCGGACCACAUUACUAUGGUUUUUCUGGGGAUCCAAGGGGAGGUUGAGCGCAUGUACACCGCCAUUGGAUGGCGCCCCUAUCUGGAUAUUUUCCAGCCAGCCUUUGUCGAGUUGACUAGAGAGUUUUACACCACUUUUAAGUUUGAAUUACCGACUAGGUAUACUGUUGCGACUCCCGAUAUCAUUCACUUCCGUCUCAUGGGCCAGGAAUUCAAUUUCUCUAUCACCCAGUUCAAUCUGGCUUUCGGUUUCAUCACUCGGGAGUAUGCAGAGACUAGGGAAUACGGUGAGAGUGCCUGCGAUUUUGUGGAACCUUUCCUUACCGCCUACCGUGAGGUGUGGGAGGACAUGUCUGUGGACAUGCAGCGUUACGAUCCCUCUCGGUCUCGGAGCUCCUUUCUAGAGGACCCGAGUGCUCGGUAUGUUCAGCGGCUUUUAGCAUAUAGCUACUCGGGCAGAAAGAACAGCUUCGGUAUUAUCUCUCGGCCGGAGCUCUUCUUCCUUUGGUGUAUGAAGAAUGGGUUCAAGGUCAAUUUGGGUUGUUGGUUGGCGGCACAGUUCAAGACCGUCAUGGCAAAGAAGAACAAGCCGUUGAUUCUUGGGUCGUAUAUCACGUACUUGGCGGUCCAGCUAGGCGUUCUGAAUCUACAGGAUCACGAUUUGCACUUGGCCUGCGACAUGGAGUAUCUCACUGCUGACCGGCUAGAGAAGAUGGGGGUUCUGGAGCUUGUCGAUGGCCACUACCGAUUUGUGCCCCCGGGACCGCCCCGCGCCCCGCCUCGCUCUUCCUCCACCCAUUCGGCCCCAGUUGGCGGUGAUCCUGGCCCGUCGACAUCCGCUCAGCUCCCUCCACCAGCAGGGGCUGAAGAUUGGCACCAAAUCAGGACGCAGAUUCAGAAUUUGGACGCCCGGAUGAUUAGCAUCGAGAGCAACGUGGCGGCUAUAUCACAGAAUCUGGCGGCAUUCCUGCAGCACUCGGGUUUCCCGCCCCCAAUCCCACCUCACCCUCCACUAUGACCCGGUUUCAGGGAAGUUUGGUUACUUUCUCCCUCACUUUUGUUGUUUUUUGACACAUUGAGGACAAUGUGUCCUAUAGGUGUGGGGGGGUCUAUAGUCUUUCUAGUUUUUAGUAGUUGUUAGUUUUUAGUUUUUUAGUAGUUUUAGUUUUAUUUCUAGUUGCGUAUUUUCUUUCUUUUCUUAGUGCUUAUUCCCCAUGUGAAAAGAAAAAGAAAACAAAAAAAAAGAGAAAAAAAUGUUGGUUUAUUGACUCUAACUCUACUUUUGCCAAGUUUUUUUUAAAUAAAAAUGUAUCGGGUUAAUGUGGUUGGAUCCAGAAUAUCUCCCUGGUGAAUAUCGGAUUGCUUGGCUCUUUUGAUUUCUGUGUUAAUUUCUCUAGGCAUAGGGAAUGACUGUUGGCAUUUUAAUGUGAACUGGUCCAAUAUUGACUCCAGUUCUCUAUGUUUGGCAAUAAUGAGGCGAGCUGUUCCUAUUUUUGGUUCUUAGUGUUGUUAUUAUGUGUUUUUGGCUUUGUUUGGCUGUGAAUAAUCUGGACUGUACUCCGCUAUGAGUUACUACUGAGUAACCGAGGAUCGGCACCUAAAAGUGUCGAUUCUCGCGUCAAAAGGUGGUACUUUAUAUGAGUACGUGGUCGUAUAGCAGUAGGAGCUGAGUAACCGGGCUCCUUCAUCUAAAAAUGUUGGAGUUCGCGUCAAAAGGCCCCGACGGCUAACGACUAAGUCUUUUUGUGUUAAUUAUUAUUGCUUUGAAAAACAAAAAAAAAAAAGAACGAAAAAAGAGAGAAUAAAUAAUAGGAAGGCUUGCCGGUUUAUGGACUUAAUAUGGAGACUUGUGUGAAUAUUUGGACCAUUAGCUAAUAAAUGUUGUGCGCCAUUCCCUUUUCUUAGAGUAGUUAACCUGGAAAUUGAAGGAAUUUGCAGUUUAGGGGCUAACCGGGGGGGAGGCUUCUUGGAUUUUAAUCACCAAUGCUCGAUAUAUGUUUUUCUCUUGAAGAUCUUGGCAAUAUAGGAGAUUGGACAAUGGCCAUCAUCGAAUUUUGGUGUUCGUUUACUAUUCUUAUGCUUGAGGACAAGCAUGGUUUAGGUGUAGGGGGAAUUGAUAGGGUGUAAUUUUACUAUUUAUUUUAUUAUUAAUUUCUCCUAUCACCUGACCUGAUGUGGAUUAAUUGCUGGAUUCUGCUCACUUUUAGUACUUUGUAUUUAUUUCAGGGAGUAGAACGGAAAUUUGAUAACAGGUGCUAAUUUGGCAGAAAAAAGUCCAGAUGAUAGAGCUUGCCCCAAGGGCAUUUUUGGAAAGGAGAACUUGUGCCCAUCUUGGUAAUUUGGGAGAAAAGGGAAACAGACAAAAUGGGUCUAACAUGGAUUGGAAGCGGCCGCACAGUAGCAGGGAAGAGGGCAGACGUAAAAGCAAUUGCAGGGGGGAAAAGGAGUUUUUUUAGUUUUUAGCUUAGCAUCUGAUUUUCCCUGGGAGACUUUUGUUAAAGAUUUCCUUUUGGCUGAUAUUACGCAUGGCAGAUGGCUUUUAACUUAUUCCUCCAUCUUUGACUUUUCUUCUUUAGCUUGUAGUAGUGGAUUGCUACUUACGAAUGUCAGCACUUAGCCAUUCGUGGCUUUUGAUCUUUUCUUCCUUAGAAAUUCUGAGUAGCCUCUUUUCCUUUGUGCGCCAGACGAAGUGAAAACUAUAAACUUUUGUAGUGUUUCUAUUCAUUCAAUAUAUUGAGACGAGUUGGAUUCUACCAAAUUUCAAUGGACAUGGCCGCUGGUUUCUCUUCAAUUUUAUAUGGGCUUUGUUCAUCGAACAUGAACUAAUUUCACCACUCUAGUCAAGGAACAACGAAGACUCUGGUUCGCCUAAAAAUUGUGAGAUCGUUUUAAUUUAAUCUUUUCCUUUUAUUUAUUGGUAUCCGCACAUUUCUUGAUUGCUAUGCUUAUGGUUAUUUAAUUAAUUGAUUGUCUUGGAUCCAGAUAAUUAAUUGAUCUGAUAGCCUAUUGUCAAUUAGGGCAUUUAAAUCCGUAAUUGUUUAAUUGUCCUGAAAUAGUGACAACUGGCACGAUUAGAUUCGUGCCAGGGGGGAUAUGCGGGCUAAUCUAAAAUAACCCUGGUAGUGUGUUAUUUGGUUAGAAUAGGGCUCCUCUAAUAUGUAAGGCAAUUGGGGAAUUAAAUUCUACGGGCGUACCUAGAAUUAUUUCUUAAUUAGAGUAGUGAUUAACGGGCGUACCUUGAUCACCGACACAGUAAGGAGGGGUUGACUGCCAUCGCUUGUUUGGCAGUUAUAACAUAUUUAUCAGUAAAUAAUUGGGAUUGCCUUGCAUCAAUGAUCAAUUAGAUGAACUAUUGCUGAAGUUACUUCUUGGCUAGAUCUUUAGUUAAUAUUACCUUGAUUUUGGUGAAUUGCCAUUUGAUUUUUAGUUGCCUACUUUAUUUUAUUUUUAAUUGUUUCCUUGCUUUAAUUGAGUUAGGCCUUUAAUUAUUGUUAUUCUAAGUUUAGUGAAUUGUGGUUUAAUUCCUAAUUAGUUAUUUAUUUUUACUUUCUUAUUUGAAUUUAUUUGCUUGUUAUCAUUCCUACGAAAUCACCCCCCUGUGUUACUUUGGAUUUCUUAAGAAACAAAUAUACCCAGUCCCUGUGGAUACGACCCUACUUGCCCUGUCCACGAAUUCAUAAUUAUUUGUGAAAAGAAAUAACCAUUCCACUCGGGUAUAUCGGAUCAAGCAAACUCUUCGGGAACAGGGUGAAUCAAGUAACCCAUUGCACACCUAAAAUCCCUGCUCCAGUACUUGGAAUUGGGUUUUGGUCAUUUUAACUGGCAAUUAAGUUUAAUUUUAUUAUUGCACAGGCUGACGACCCUGUCAUUGUAUUUGUACCAAAAGUGAAAACUUAACUAUUUUAGUUGUAUUUAUUUCAUCAUGUUGGAUUGUAUUCAAAUAAUUUUUGUUUGAUUGUUUUUAUAAGUUUCAAUUGUAAAAUUAAAAUGAAUAAUAACUUGAUGAUGUGUUGAUAUUUUAGUACUUGAUUAUUUAUUAAAAUUUAAUUAUAAUAAAAUUUUAUUAACUCAACGAGAAAAAUUUUAUUAAUCCCGUGGGGGCACCCGCGGGGAAAGCGGGGCGGGGCGAGGGGAGUGGGAGGCGGAGGACGGGGCGGGGGCGGGGGAUGGGGGAGGGGUCCCCCGCCCCAACCCCGCCAUCCCCCGUCCCGUUGUCAUCCCUAGUAAUAGACUGGCAAGCAUUGUGGUGGUCAUUGAGCAACUUAUAGGAGAAAUAGUCCUAUAAGCUGUUCAAUGACCAAUCACAACUUGCUAAUUGGAUGACUAAUAUAGCUCUAGCUGUAAUGUUUUAAUUAAAUUACAUCACUAACGUUGGGAUGACUUUUUAACCAAAAAAAAAAAGCCUUAGUUCAAGCUUUUCCCUUUAUUGUGCAUUUUUUAAAGCAUUUGAAAGGCACUGCAAAUCUGUCAUUUUGGACAUUUUAUUAUUGACUAACAAUGAAAGCCGUGGACGUCUACCCAUAACCAACACAAGAUUAAAUUAAUAUUAGAAAAAAUAAUUGAGUAAUUGGAAAAAAAAAAAAAAGAAGAGUCUAAUUUUCAUUGAAACCCACCGACAAACUAUACGUGUCCAUGGCUUUUGAAUAGUGCAUUCAACGUUUAAUUGUAUGGUCCAGUUCAUUGCAGAUUACAUGGAGUAAAGAUUGCGCUCUUUCCUUUUCACCCCUUUUGGAAUCGAUACUGUGGAGAAUUGGGUUUUUCCCUCCUUUUUUUCUUUUCUUUCCUUCUGUGGUUUGCAAAACAUACGUAAAAAUAUGAAAUCCGAAGCAUUCUUUAAUUGGUAUUAAGUAUUGUUGUUGAAAUUAAAAAGAAAAAAGAAAGAACAACAAAAUUCCCAAUCUGGGUUGAUUGUUGAGCUCUAGAUUGGUUGCAUCGUGCUUCCAUAGAAGCAAGAUUUGUAAAAUCGGAAUCCUACAUAGGAUCGAUUUUAGUUUCACAGGAUCGGAUUGUAAAAUCGUAAGAUCCUACCAAAAGCUCUCAAUUGCAAUUAAAGGUUGCAAUUCUUUAAUAAAUUACAAAUAUACCACAAAUAUUUUCAUUUACUUGCAAAAUGGAGCUUCGUAUUUCACAAAUUUACAAAAAAAUUGUAGGAUCGUACGAUCCUACCGAUCCUACGAUCCUACACGAUCCUACCGAUCCUGCUACGAUUCUAUGCGAUCCUACAAAGAUUAAUAUGAUUUGCGACUCUGCAUACGAUCCGGAUCGAUUUUGGUUAUCCGGAUCGUAGGAUCGUAUGAUCCUACGAUCCGGAUCGCGAUUUUGACAACUAUGCAUAGAAGCUCUCUUAGUGUGAUACACUGCUUUCAAUCAGUUUAACACGGGAAAAAAAAAAAGAGAUGAAAAGCAAAUUUGGUGGAGAUAAUUUCAGAAACCUCCCCUGAAGAUUUUGACUAUUCUACUGGUUUCCCUUCAGAUUUUAAAAAUUACACUAAUCUUCCUUGAAGUUAAUUAUCUUGUAACAUUUAAAUUCAAUCAAUAAUUUAAAAAAUGAUAUUAUGAGAGAGAAAAUAAUAUGAUUUUAUCAUUGCCCCCCAUCUUACUACAUUAUUUAAUUAAUUUAAUAGCAACCCACACAUUAAAGAAAAAUAUUAAAAUUUGUUGUUUAUCAUUAAAGAUCAAAUCGCUUAUAACAUCAAAUAAUAGUAUAUUAUUUAUAUUUUUCACUUAAUAUAAUAUCCAAAUUACUCUUUUCAAUUACAUACCCAUUGUUAGAGAAUCAACAACAAAUAACCAAAAAAUUUGCAACCAAAAUAUUACAAAAAAAAUAAACUUUAACAUCAUAAAUAUUCUUAUCAACAUAUUAAAGUUAGUUACUGAAAUUUUUAUGCUGUUAAACUUCACUCUUUUUGAAUACAGAUUUUUUUGAUUAUUUGUUAUUAAUUAUGUUUGAUGAUGGGUUUAUAAUUGAAAAGAACAAUUUGAAACUUACAUUAAGUAAAAUAUAUAGAGUGAUAUACUAUUUUUUAUAACAUAUGUGAUUCAAUCCUUCUUGAUAGGAUUGGUAAUAGAGGUAGAGGGGGGAGUCGGCUGCAUCCGGUCUUCUUUUCAUAGAUAGUACAAUAUUGCGAAAUCAAUCGCAUUCACACAAUAAUAUUUCGAAGUCAAUGCAUGGCUAAGUUGCAUAAAAGUACGAACACUUGUUAUUAUAUAGCUUAAGAUUCAAAACUUUCGAGCAUAACCCUCCACCCAACACAAUUGAAUAAUGAAUAUUCACGAUUGUCAAAUCUGUCAAAGCACAGUUUGAGGACAACCCAUUCCAACCUGCAAAAGAUUUUUUACUUUUCUAAAGUUGUUGAGAGCUGUAAAAAGACUUACCAUGCUUGCAUCCUCCGAGCCUUGGGAGUUAAAAAUGAAGGCACUGAGUGCUAUAAAAAGGGGAAUAGAGGCUGCCUAGAAGCAUAUCAGCCUAAAACAAGAAUUUGUAGUUAAGAUGGGAAGCAAAGCAAAAGCAAUGGGGUCUGGGCUGACUCCUCUUCUUGCCACUGUUUUAGUGGUGUUUGUUGCUCUUGGCUUGCCCUCACAAACUGCAGCUGAUGAUCACUACAAGUAUUCAUCUCCUCCUCCUCCUUACCACUAUCCCUCACCACCACCACCAGUGCAUAUACCUCCACCUCAUCCUGUUUACAAGUACAAAUCUCCACCACCCCCACCACCACACCCAGUUUACAAGUAUAAGUCACCACCACCACCUCCUCAUCCGGUAUACAAGUAUAAGUCUCCUCCGCCACCACCACACCCAGUUUACAAGUACAAGUCACCACCACCACCUCCUCAUCCGGUACCACACCCAGUUUACAAGUAUAAGUCACCUCCACCACCUCCUCAUCCGGUACCCACAGUUUACAAGUAUAAGUCACCACCACCACCUCCUCAUCCGGUAUACAAGUAUAAGUCUCCUCCGCCACCACCACACCCAGUUUACAAGUAUAAGUCACCACCACCACCUCCUCAUCCGGUGCCACACCCAGUUUACCACUACAAGUCACCACCACCACCUCCUCAUCCGGUACCACACCCAGUUUACCACUACAAGUCACCACCACCUCCUCACCCAGUUUACAAAUACGAGUCUCCACCACCACCAGUUUAUAAGUACAAGUCACCACCACCUCCUCCACCAGUUUACAAGUAUAAAUCUCCUCCACCACCACCACCAGUUUACCACUACAAGUCUCCACCACCUCCUCCCCCAGUUUACAAAUACAAGUCUCCACCACCUCCUCACCACUACUAAGCAAUUGCUUCUGAGGUAAUAACACUUGUUCAAUAUACCCACUUCUGCAUGAUAAAGCAUAUCUCUAUCAACACAAACUGUCAUGUCUAUCAUGCUAAGUGCCUUCACUUCAUCCACCAAAAUGACUGCUAGAAAAUUUUUUUUAUGUUACCAAAGAAAGGCAUCAUUUUUUCCCUCUGUUAUCAAGAACUUGUACAGUAUAUAGAUUAAAGAGUAUUUUUUUAACUAGCUUAUCAACUGAGAAAUGCAUAUAGCUGAUAGCCAGCUGAAUAUUUGCAGGCAAAGGAGAAGGAAACCAUGUUUGAGACCUUCUUGAAGAUGUAGAAGCAUAAGAAUAAAAGCCCAAUGUGAAGAUGAUGAUUUCAAGUUUUUCUACGUUACCAUUUCUUUAUCUAAAUUGGUUGUAGCGCCCAAGUUCCUUUGUUUAUGGGAUUUGUAUCGUUUUACGUACCAUGCAGUACAUGUCAUGUUUGUAAGGUUUUCUAUCCUGCCGGCAAACCGCAGGUUCCAUGUGAUAAAUGAAUACUAUUUAUGUUACGACACUUUUCUCUGUUUCUCUUAUAUUUUGUCUUUAAUAUUCUUAAUCAUAUUUUUAACAAAAAUAUUCAAACACUUAGGCAAUCUGGUCUAAUGCUAAUUGUAUGUUUUACUUUUCUUUUUCACCUGCUCCCCUUUUCAACUCAAAAGGAUGCAAUAGUUUGUGAUCACUGUUUAAGACGGAAGCAUGAUACUAAUGAAUAUCUCAUUGAAACUCAAGGAAACUAACAUUGCGAAAAGUGUAAAUCUUGAUUUGAUGCAACUAUUUAUUCGUGGAAUCUAUAGUUACAAAACUCAAAUUCUGACUGCGCCAUUGAUAAAUUAUUAAUGACGCUAUCAUCAUUAUUUAUCCCUAACUAGUUUCGACUACAACUGAACCCAAUAUUUUCCCCAUGAUAAAAGUUUUUGACUAUUUUACUGGCCUCUCUUCAAAUUUUAAAAAUUACACUAAUCUUCAUUGAGAUUAAUUAUCUUGUAACAUUUAAGUCCAAUUAAUAAUUAAAAAAUGAUAUUAUGAGAGAGAAAAUAAUAUAAUUUUAUCAUUGCCCCCCAUCUUGCUAUAUUAUUUAAUUAAUUUAAUAGCAACCCACACAUUAAAGAAAAAUACUAAAAUUUGCUGCUUUUCAUUAAAGAUCAAAUUGCAUAUGCCAUAAAACAUAGUAUAUCAUUCUAUAUGUUUCACUUAAUGUAAGAUCCCAAUUGUUCUUUUCAAUUACAAACCCAUUGUCAAACAUGAUCAAUAACAAAUAAUCAAAAAAUUUGCAACCAAAAUAUUACAAAAAAAAACUUUAACAUCAUAAAUAUUCUUACCACCUCUAGUGCAUUCACCCUCAUAAAAUAAUUCAAGACCCUACUGUCAUAAAAUGACUGAUCAACUCCUGUAAACCUAAUUUGACAACAUUUAAAUGGAGAACUUUAGCUAAAAGAAUUAUGGUCAAGCUAAAGAAAAAACCAGUUAUUUUCCAACAUAUGCAACCAUUGAUCAGGGGAAAAAAAAAAGCAAAAAGACAUCUUCAAUCAUUUAAUAGCUUACAGGGCAAAUUAACCCUUGAGUGAAAACUGGUUGCUCUAGAAUUAAAAUUUUACCUUAGUUACCCAGGCAACUUUUUUGUUGCCUUUUCUUUUUCUUUUUUGGGUAUAUAGCUCCAGUUUUGCCCCCUCUGUCAAGCUUAUAUAAUUAUUAAGAUAAUAAAAGUGCCUUUAAUAGUAUUAAUAUAUCCAUUGACUUGAGCUGUCAUCGAUCGGUUUGGGCUACUUCGAUUCCAUGAGAACAAAUGGUAAUAAAAGUACUCAGAAAAUGGGGAGUCAUGAAACCCUUUUGUUCUAUUCAUUGCUAAGAUGCUUUUCUCUAUAAAGAGACUUCCUAACGAAAAUACUUUGUAGAUUUCUUUACUCCAAGUGGUGCAUGGAAAAUUAAUAUUUUCAAUUAUCAAAUAAAAUUCCCUUUUUUCGGCGUAGAUUUCAUCCAUCCAGCUGUUAACACAUUCUAUAAAUCCGAAUUGACUAAUCUUUUCGUUUCCAUUUUCCAACUUGCGAAUACGGCAUAUAGUGUCUGCUAAACACUAUAUAUUCUCUGCCAAAUAUGAAUACAUAUCACUUUUCUGAGCAAGUGCAGAGUCAUUAUCAUUUUUAUUCCCACCUAACAAAUUAGGGAUAAAAAAGUUAAUAAUCUUUACAUGCUAUCAGGUCACAAGUUAAUAAUCUUUUAAAGAACAUGUUAAAUUAAUUUAUUGGUAUGAAUAGUAGUCAAAGAAGUAUGUUAAAGUUAGUAAUCUUUAAAAUAAUAUGUUAAAAUCAUUCGUACAAAUUAGUCAGAGAAGUAGCAUAAACACCGCGAUGCAAUUAAUACUUUCAAUCUCAAGGUCUCUAUUAUGGAAAUUUGCAUCGGUCAAUAUACACUUGGCAUAAUAUAAUCUCCCAACUCAUUUCUUUACAAAUGCACCUUUAAUCACCACCAAAAGGUGUGGACAUGAUCUUUACCCUAGAAAACUAUUCACCGACAGGCAAAUUGACGUCAGAAAUACUGAGGAAUUCUAGUUUCCUUCGGGUUCAUGCCAUGUUGUAUCCUUCAACUGUAACUCGAUUUCUAAGCUGUAAUUUGUGACAUAAUAGUCCUUAAACUAUGAAACCCUUCUUACUUAAUUACAAUGGUUAAUACAAUGCCCGUGACUAGACAAGUAUGAAGCAACCAUAACAGAAAAAAAAUCCAAAAUUAGAGAAAAGAAAGAAGUUUCGCGACCACCACCAGUUUACAAGUCACCUCCACCACCUCCUCCAGUUUACAAGUCACCUCCACCACCUUACCAUUAUUCCUCACCACCACCUCCAGUGCAUUCACCCCCACCACCACCAGUUUACAAGUCUCCGCCACCACCUUACCAUUAUUCCUCACCACCACCUCCUGUGCAUGCACCUCCACCACCAAUUUACAAGUCACCUCCUCCAGUUUACAAGUCUCCACCACCACCUUACGAUUAUUCCUCACCACCACCUCCAGUGCAUUCACCCCCACCACCACCAAUUUAUAAGUCUCCCCCACCGCCUCCCCCAGUAUAUAAGUCACCACCACCACCUCCUCCAGUAUACAAAUCACCUCCACCACCUCCUCCAGUUGACAAAUCUCCACCACCACCAAUUUAUAAAUACAAGUCUCCUCCACUACCUCCUCCAGUGUACAAGUCAUCACCACCACCUGCUUACAAGUCUCCACCUCCUCCAGUUUACAGUUCCCCACCACCACCAAUCUACAAGUCUCCACCUCCACCCUACCAUUACUACUACAAUUCUCCUCCUCCUCCUCGUCACUACUAAGCAAUUGUAUCCAAGUUUUUGAGGUAAUAACGCUUAACCAAUAAAUUAACUUUCGCAUGAUAAACCUUAUCUCUAUCAAGACAAACUGCCAUGUGUAUCAUGCCAAAUACGUACACCUAGAUCCAUGAAAAUGAAUGGUAGAAAGUUUUCUUAAGAACCAAGAACAGCAUUAGUAUUCCCUCUGCUUCCAAAAACUUGUGUAUUAAAUAGAUUAAUGAAUUGUUUAACAUGCUCAUCUACUUGAAAAUGCACAAUACCCAUAACCCACUGAAAUUUUUGCAGGAAAAGGGAAAGAGAAUCUGUGUUUGAGAGCUUCAUGAAGAUGUUGAAGAAUAAGAAUAAAAGCCCAAUGCAAGGAUGUUUUCAAGUUUUUCUAUGUUUCCACUUUAAUUUGUAAAUUGAAUUUUGCGACUCAAUUAAUUCCCUGUUUGUGAGGUACGUAUUGUUUUACGUACCAUGCCGUACAUUUUUUUUUUCCAACAAACGGUAUCAUGUUAUAGAUAUUAACACUUGACCUUACAAGGAUUAGUUACAAAAAGGGGAUACUACCCUCAACUCUGUCCUAGCUAAAUCAGUCAGCCAUAUUGGGAAAUUAGUUUCCCAUUCAAUAUCAUGUACAAGCUUCACAGCAUAUUGUGCUAAUUGAUGGCUGAUGUGAUUUUCAGUUCUAGGUAUAAACACAAAAGAACAUUUUUCAAAAGCUAGACUAAGUUCCUGCACAUCUUCUAAGAUAGUUGCAGUCGUGUAGUCAUACUCCUUGCGUUUAGUAAUCUGCUCUACCACUGAUUUGCAGUCUGUAUGGACUAUAAUUUGUGUCCAACCUGCUUGGGUAGCCAUCAGCAGAGCAUUUCUCACAGCCCGAGCUUCCACUUCACUUGCCGAUCCCUUUCCCUGUGUGACAAUUCCUUUUGCUUUCAAAAGCUGUCCUUUCCAAUUUCUUGCUAUAAUCCCUUGUCCGGUCCUGACUCGUUUAGCUGAUAUCGCUGCAUCGGUAUACAGCCUUAUCUCUUCCUUCCUUGGCCGCACUCUCCUGGUAGGUAAGGCAUCAUUCAGCUUCCCUGCGAUCUCCUUCUGGUCUGUACUCCCUACCUGUUCAAACUCAAGCCAUUCCUCCUGUGCUUUCCUUACUAUUUUUACUGGAUCCUGGUUGGCUUGUUCAAAAAAUUUUUUGUUCCUGGCUUUCCAAAUUUGCCAAAGGAUAUUGAUAGUAAGACUAACUCUCUCCUGACCUUGGUUCAGUGCCAGCGAUUGUGUGACUUGUUCCCACCAUAACCAAAAGUUAUAUUGCAUACCCAGUAAUCCAUCCCACCUGACCGGUGCUAGCUUCCACGUUUCCACAGCCUUUUCACAGAAGAAAAACAAAUGCUCAAUAGUUUCCAUAUCUUCACCACAGCAACCACAUCUGCCUUCCCCUCUAUGUAGCCUUUUCGACAUCUGUUCAUUGACUGGCAGACAAUUUUGUAAGCACUUCCACAUGAAGUGUUUUAGUUUGGCCUUCACCUUCAAAUGCCAUAGCUGCUUCCACACAUUUCGUUUUCGUAUCUCCCAACUUGUUUCUGCCUCUUGGCCUGUCCUUGUACCUGCUUUUCCUUCCCGUUGCCUUGCUAAAGCAUAACCAGAUUUCACGCUAUAAAUUCCAGCUUUGGAAUGCCCCCAUACCAACCUAUCCUUUCUUCUUCCUAUACUUGUUGGAAUUCCCUUUAUGUGCUCUGCAUCUUUUGCACAAAACCACUUGAGAAGCAAAUCAUUUUUCCAUUUCCCUUCCUCUAUCAGCUCACUUACCCAUUCCAACUUGCAUCCCACAGGUUGUGUGGUUGAUGCAAAGCCGGUAUCUGAACCAACUAUCCAUCUGUCCCGCCACAUGUUGACUGACUUGCCAUCUCCAAUUCUUUUCCAAAGACCAUCAUACAGAAAGGAGGCUGCACUAUGAAUACUCUUCCAACACCAUGAGGCUGAAGAGACUGGCUUCUUGUCCAUCCAUUUUUCAUCACUCAUAUACUUCGCCUUCAUUACCUUACUUACUAACAAAUUUGGAGCCAUUAAGAAUCUCCAAAUUUGUUUUGCCAGUAAUGCUGUGUUGAAGGCCUCCAAAUCUCUAAAGCCUAAACCUCCUCUUCCCUUAACUUCUAAGAGCUUCUUCCAGCUUGCCCAAUGUACACAGGUACCCUUUUCUCCCUUCCCCCACCAGAAACUCGCUAUUUUACCUGUGAUUUGUCUACACAAACCCCUUGGAAGUCUAAAGCAAGCCAUCACAUAUGUUGGCAUAGCCAUAAUCACUGAUUUGACCAGAAUUUCUUUCCCUCCUUGGCUCAACAGUUUUUGUUUCCAACCUUGCAACUUGUUACUAAUUUUGUUCUGGACAAAUGCAAAGACCUGUGUCUUUGAUCUUCCAAUUGCCAUUGGGAGUCCUAGGUAGGUUCCAUUCCUUGCCUCUUUAAUGUUAUCUAAUACCUCCCUCACUCCAUUCUUCCUUUGAUCAGUGGUAUUUUUGCUAUAGAAGAUAGCUGACUUUUCAAAAUUCACCACCUGUCCGGAUGCUUGACCAUAUCUUUCCAAUAUGCUUUUGACCUUCCUCGCCUCCUGCUUGGUUGCUUGGCAGCAUAGUAGAGAAUCAUCUGCAAAAAAUAGGUGAGAAACCAUCGGACUGUCCUUGCAUAUUUUGAUCCCUGUAAUUUCCUUGUUCAUCAUAGCUUUAUGGAUCAAACAUGAAAGACCUUCAGCGCAUAUAAUAAACAAGUACGGGGAUAGGGGGUCUCCUUGUCUAAGCCCUCUACUCGGUUGAACACAGCCUACCUUUUGCCCAUUUAAGUUGAAGGAGUAAGUCACAGUAGAUAGGCAAGACAUGAUCCAUUUAACAAAAAUUGGACAAAACCCCAUUUUCAUCAUAACUCUCCCCACAUAUUUCCAUUCGACUCUAUCGUAAGCUUUGGACAUGUCCAGUUUAAGAGCCAUAAAUCCUACCCUUCCCUUUCUCCUAUUUUUCAAAAAAUGCAGGAUUUCAUGUGCAACUACUACAUUAUCAAGAAUUUGACGGCCUGGGAUAAAAGCGGAUUGAGAGGGACUAAUACAAUGAUGCAAGACACCUUUCAAUCUAUUAGCUAUGAUUUUAGAAAUGAUUUUAUACAGGACAUUGCACAAGCUAAUAGGUCUAAAAUGCACCACAGAUUCAGGAGUAUCAACUUUAGGAAUCAACGAAAUAAUAGUAUCAUUCACAGCUUUGAGCAAAUGCCCAGUAUGAAAGAAACUCUUAAUAGCUGCUACCACAUCAUCCUUGAUAAUAUCCCAAUAGUGUUGAAAAAAUAGAGGAGACAUACCAUCCGUUCCUGGUGCUUUAUUAGGGUGCAUCGAGAACAAAGCUUUCCUGAUCUCACUUUCCUCCACUUGUCGUAUCAGUUGUCCAUUCAUAUGACUCGAAAUAGUGCUUGGAAUUUCAGCUAGAAUGUCCUCAAAGCAGUCCGGGUUAGUAGUGGUAAAAAGGUCUUUAUAGUACUCACAAAGUUCCUCCUCAAUCUCAUGUUCCUCCUUGCACCAUGUCCCAUCUUUUUUCUGCAAUAUAGUGAUCUUAUUUCUCCUCCUCUUUGCCAUGACCGAAGAAUGGAAAAAAGCUGUAUUCUUGUCCCCUUCUUUGAGCCACUUGUUCCUGGAUUUUUGACUCCAAAACAUCUCUUCCUCUGCAUAAGCUUUAUUCAAUUGUGCUUUUAGUUCAGCCACUUGUACUCUUUUCCCUUCAUCCUUUCUUGCUUUCACUUCAGCCAAUUUCUCCUUUAACACUUUAAUUCUAACCUUUGAGUUUCCCUGCACCUUUUUCCUCCAAUCCAGAAUAGCCAUGCGACAUUCCUUUAUUUUUGUAGCCACUCUAAACAUCCUGGACCCUGACUUCACCUUUGUCCAUGCUCCUUGAAUCACCCUUUUUGCUUCUGGAUUUAGCGUCCAUCGUUGAUCAAAGUAAAAUCUCCGUUUUCUCCUUGUGUUUUCCGGGUUUGUAUCCACAAGAAGCAUUAGAUGAUCAGAGGCUUCAGUAUCUAAAUGAGUACACUGUGCCUUUUCAAAUCUUUGCAGCCAUUCGGUGCUGCAUAAACAUCUAUCCAACCUCUCUUUCACUUCCCCAUCCCCCUCCCAACUAUUGCACCAAAUCCACGGGACCCCUUGAUAACCUAAGUCAACCAGGUUAUUGUCUUUGAUAAACCUGUUGAACUCCCUAAAACAUCUUUCAGCUCUAUCCCUUCCUCCCCACUUCUCCUCACUAGACCUCAAAUCAUUAAAAUCUCCUACAAUGAUCCAGCCAUCCCCCCAGUCCCUCAUCCUGUCCUCUAAAUAUUUCCAUUGUGCUUUUCUAAUGUUACUAUCUGUGCUUGCAUAAACACACACUAGCCCCCAGUAUCCUUUAGUAUCCUUGUCCUCAACUCUAGCACUAAUACACCAAUCAGUACUUACAAUCUGGUCUAAAAUCACCUCAUUGUUCCAGAAUAAUGCUAGACCGCCUGCUUUACCUAUUGAAUUCACAAAAAAGCUAUUGUCAUACUGAAUCUUCCUUUGAACCUUGCCCAUAAACCCUUCCUGAUUCUUAGUUUCACAAAGGAACACCACCUUAGGAGAGUGGAAGUUAGUCACUUCCUUUAGUUGGGGACUUGUCAAGGGGCCUCCUACACCUCGACAAUUCCACACCACAACCUUCAUUUACACUUUGGAGGCUUUCCGGGGCUAGCCUCCAUUUCCCCUAUUGUACUAACAUUUAUUAGAUCCAGUUUCAUAACCUUUACCUUCGGUACAUUAUCAUCAUCCUCCUCUAUCGGUUGUGUUCCCUGAAACAUACCAUCAGCCUUCCUUUUAGCACACGAAACCUGCGUUACUUGUCCAUUUGUAUCUGCCUUUAAGGAUGUUUUAGCCGGCCUCCCUCUUCUUUUAAAACUGCUUCUUUUUUCAGCUUUGUUAUCUUCUUCCCCUGGAGUAGCCUCCUUUCUUGGCAUUCUUGCAUUUGUCUCCUCCUGCUUUAUUGACCCUACCCGCAAACUUUCACAUUCCUGUUUUGAGCUGUCCGUUUCCAUAUCCUCAUAAUCUACUGGUGGGAUUACGCUGCUCCCUCCUUUACUCCCUUCCUGUACCCUACCCUCCUUUUCACCAUUUCCCUCCAUUAAGACCACAGCCAAACUUUCCACCCGUUGGUUUGCCUUUCCAUACUGCCUGCUGUCUUUUAGAAUCUCAUCCCACCUCUCUUCAUAUUGUCUCGUCAUCAUUUUCUCCUUAUCCCCCCUUUCCUUUCCCCCCAAGACUCUACCAUUUUUUCCCCCAAGAGUUAAUGUAUCUCCAGCCAUUUGUACUCCAGUUUGAACUUCACUACUAGGAGACCCUGCCCCCACCCUCCUUGCAUCAAUUUCACUUACUCCUUCCAGCCGUCCCUUUAAGGGAGAUACCAUUAUAUUUCCAGCUCUCAUCCAGGCACCAUAUUGUUCCUCUCGCUUCUCCCCCCCACCCUUCCUACCACAGUACAAGUCCUAUCACUAUGCCCAAUGAUACCACACCUAUAACAGAAAUCAGGGCAGCGUUCAUACCUGAACUCAACCCACACUGCCUGGUUCUUACAGUUGAUCUUUGUCCCUCUAACCAGUGGUUUCGUUAUAUCUACCUCAGCCAUAAUCUUCAUGUGGCGACCCUCUUUCCCACCACUUCCUGGGAGAAUCACUCCCCUCACUGAUUUAAAGAUCCCUCCUAUUUUCAAACCCACUGCUCUGCUCAACCAGUGCACCGGUAGGUUCCAUAGUUGAAUCCAAAGAAAGGAAUGCUGGAAAAAGCUGCUGUUUGUAUCAUACCCCUCUACCCACUCCUUCACUAUCAGCAACUGGUUGUCCAUGACCCAAGGCCCUCCAGAUAAGAUCUUUUUCUUUUCCCCUUCAUCUCCCAGAUGGAAAUGGAAUAAGUUAGGACCUAACUCAGUCACUUUCAUCUUUGAGGGGUAUCCCCAUGCAUGAUUUGUAAAGUUCUUUAACCCCGUAAAGUUGGCAAUUUUUUCACCAAUCAGCUUUCCUACCAGGCUUCCUUGACACUCAGAGACGCCUUCUUCCAGGUCCUCACCACUCAGAUCGACACCUCCUAACUCUGUUUCAGACAAGUCAAAAUUUUGAAAGGCUCUUUCUAAAGCAUCCGCCAUUGCUGUGACGAGAGCUCCUUGAGAAACCAAGCACUAUUUCUGAGCUAUGAGUGACCCACUGACAGACCUGUGAAGAAUUGCAAAGACAGACAAAGCUGUGUUAUCCGUACACACUAAAAACCAACCAGAAAAACAGAGAGGAACUCGACAGAAAAAGCACAGGCACAAGAAGAAACGAAAGAAAAAAGAAAAACCAACAAACCACUAUCCCACUCCCGACCACAUAACAGCAUUAAAGAAAGGGACACAAAUACGACACUCCAACUUCCGAUCACAUGCUCUGACUCAAUGGAUCAUAUCUUGCCCAAAGCGUUUACUCCUCCAACCGAUUCCAAACCACUACAGACAUUGUCUCCCAUUUUGAAGCCGGAAGAAAGGUGGCUUCUGGACAGGGAACAUGAAAGCAAAGGUUGAACUAAAGAUUUGAUUUUAGAUCUGAAAAUUACGCUGUAGGAAAAAGUGCUAUGUGUUUGUACCUCACCCACUCUCCCACACCGAGGAGGGGAACCUCUAAAGUUAGAGAGAGAAGCUCUCAAGUUAGAGAGAAGCUUUGGAAGUUAAUUACCAACGUACCAUGCCGUACAUGUUUGUAAGGAUUUCUAUCCUAUUGGCAAAAGUCGGUUCCAUACAAUUAAUCAAUUCAUUUCACUUCUAUUGGCUCUACUAUUUAUGCAUGUUACGACACUCUUUCCCUUAUAUUUUGCCUUUAAUAUUAUGAGUCAAUAGUAAUAAUGGGCCUUUUUCUUAAAAUUAUACUAUUAUACAUAGGUAGUUUGGUCUAACGCUAAAUUCAUGUUUGUCUUUCUUUUAUUCCCUUUACAUCUCAAAGUAUACUAUAGUUUGUAAUCAUUGUGGUGAUGAUAUUACCAGCUGGUACUUAUAGUUUAAGGCAGAGACAUGAUAUUAACAACUAUCUCAUUGAAACAUAAGUCAAAAUCAUGACAAGUGUGAGUCUUGGUUAAUGCACAAUUUGUUAGUGGAAUUUAUAUUUAUAAAACUCAAAAAAAAUUUUUGACAAUGCUAUUACUAAUUAAUUAAGGACUUCAUUGCUAUAAUUUAUCGCUUACUAAUUUAAACUAUAAAUGAUCUCAAUACUUUUCUCCAUGAUGUCGAUUUCUUUAGACUACGAAAGGGAAAAAUUAGUGACAUAUCCCUUACUGAUUACAACAUCAGCAAAAAUUAGUUAUAAACUUUUCCGGUGGUUUUAAAUCCCUCGGGCACUAAGGUUUUUUGCACAUCGAGUGAAUUAAGGAACAUAGGCAAUUCGUUCUGCAUACCAAGUCCUUGUUUAAGAUGCACGUACUAAAAUGCAUCCACUUCAUUAAUUUGGAAAAUUGCCAUAGUUUUUUUUAAGCAUUUUGAUUUUUUACAUGAUUCAAAAUUUUCUUAUUGGAUACAAUCACUUUGUGUCAAGAACACAUUUUCAAUCAUCUUUUUUAUCUUCUCAAUAAGAAAAUAAAAAUUUAUUCAUGCUUUUCUAACAUAUCCAAUCAUUGAUCUGAAAAAUAAAGAAUUAAAAAAAAAAGACAUUUUCAAUCAUUGCUUACGGGGCAACUUCCCCAUGUGAACCUCAUCAAACAAAGCCAAUAAUAUGAAGGAACAUCUAAAUACACUUUUGCCCUAAAGGCUGGUUGCCUUGGGGUCAAAAUUUAACCUUCGGGAGUAUAAUUACCCGCCAAAUUUAUUAUUUUUUUUAUGGGUAUAUAGUUCCAAUUUUGCCUCCUGUUAAGCUUAUAAAUAUAUUACGACCCAGAAAAUAAAGGAAUCUUGAAUAGUAACAUGUCCAUUGACUUGAGUUGUUAUCAAUUUGGCUACUUCGAUUCCAUGAGGCCAAUCCAAUUCACACUAGCUAGAGAAAAUGGUGAUAAAGGCACUUAGAAAUUUAUAUGUAAUAUUGAUUGGUAGUAACUGAUAAGUAUAUAUUUUACGUGUUUUAAAUAUGUUUUAUUAGUUAGUUUUGGUGUGUUUUAACUACUUUUAUAACUAAUUAACUAGGAAUCUAGUGAAAAUAUGCAUUUUGUGGUUUGAAGUGUAAAAAUUGUAUUUCUAUGGAUUUUAAUGGUGAAAACUUCAUGUUUUUGUAGGUUUAAUGAUUCAAUCAUCAAAUGACAUGAUUUGAGAAGAUAAUUAGAUGAUUGAUGAUGUUUUGAAGUGAUAAAAAGAGAAUACAAAGUGCAAGAGAGGAAAUGCAAUCAAGAAUAAAAGAAGAAAAUUUUUGUAGCUUUGACAUAUUGUCGUAUUUCGGCAAUAUAUUGAGCUACAAUGAUCGGAUUAAGGUGAUUCUUAAACCAUUUGAAGCUAAAAUAUAGAUCUACAUUUGGCAUGAAGGCAUCGAAACCCAUGUCAGUCAUUUUCCUUGUCAAAAUGUUGAAAUACAGAAGUGCAACUCUGUUCUCGAAAGCUAAAACAGAGCUCUGGCUAGUCGAGGGUAUUUUCAUCAUUUCUUAGUCCACAGAGCUCCAAAUGAGAUGAUUCUUAAGGCAUUAGAACCCUAACUCAAAGAGCUACAACUUUCAUAUUUUGUACAAGAGUUAGUUCGGCCUCUAUCAUUAAGAAAAUAGUAGUUGAAGUGGUGCCAAAUGCAUAGAAGUGAAAACGCGAGCUAUCAAUACUCGACCUGAAGUCGCGUAUUCCUGAGGUCAUGCAUUCUCUUCUAUUUUCUGCAACUUGCCCUGCUUUCACAUAACUUUUUCAUCUCAAUUCCAACUAUCAAUUUCGGCUAUAUCUGAUCAAGAAAAGUGUGGAAAGUUUGAAAGACAACUCAUAGGAGUUUCAAGAGUCAAAAAUUACAAUUAGAAACAACUCAUUUGGCUCUUGAAUCCUCUAUAAAUAGAGGCCUUUGAAGAACAUUUUCACAACUUUGGAAGGUUAGAGAAACUCCACAAAAACAUAGUCUUCACUAGAAUUUCCUUAGUUCAUUAGUUAGGGUAGUAUAGUAUAGUUAGUGUAGCUUUUCCUUCUUGUAUUUAUAGUUAGGUUUGAAUGAAGAUUCAGGAGCAAAGAUAGAGAGGUUGAUCUCAUGUGACAAGGGUGAUAUCUCUUCUACUACUUUCUCUUUUGUAUUUGAUUUCAUAUUUAACUAUACUACAAAUUUGGCUUUGUUUUUUUUUUUUUAUCAUGUUUAGUUAAAGUUUAUGCCUAGAGUAUGGAUGACCUUUUUAUAUCUUGUUUGUGAUAUUUAACUGGUUAUUUGAUGAUGUUAUUUUUGAGCAAGUUAUUUAUCACUUUUGCUUUUCUAAUCAUGAUUAACUGGCCAUUAGUUGUGAUUAUCUAAAAGUGUUAAGUUUGUAAUGAGAAUUGGAGUUUAACACUAGUUCAAGGAAGUGAUAAAUUUAGGGAGUUCACUCAUGAGAGUAGAGGAACACCUUUGUGACCUAAGUGACUUGUUUCAUAUAAUUUCAUAGAAAAAAUGAACUUGUAAUUAAUUUCAUAACCACGAGAGUAAGUAUGGUUUAGCUAUAUGUAUAGUUGAUUCACUACGAGAGUAGGUUUCACAUACAUUAGAAAAUUACAUCAUAACUAGUCAAGAUAAUAUCAUUCAUUUAAUCAGUAAUCUCAUUUGCAUGAGUAGUAAGGCAUUCCAUAUCUCUAGGAGGUUUUUAGUAUUAUUUUCAUUACUUUUAUGUUUAUGGUAGUCUAGAUAAUAAUGGAGUUCGAAAACUACUAGUAAUUGAAAAUUUUCCCUGUGGGAUCGACCUUUAAUACCCUAUACUCGCUCUCGACUCGUAUACUUGAGAAAAAUCACGUGUGCGGUAUUUAGAAUUUAUAAAUGUAAAACUUGACUGUAGAUGAACUAAUUGAUAUAUGUAUACCCCGCACUCGUCAGUAACCAGCUUGUAUUGAUCCCACUAUUGUGGAUAAUUGUGCUCUUAUGAAAAAAAAUUAUAAAAAAAUUAGCAAAAUUUAUGAUAACAAAUUAAAUUUAUUCAUACAAAUCAGUGAAAGAAGUAGAAUUUUAAAGUCCAUGAUGAAAUUAAUACUUUCAAGGGCUCUAUUAGGAAGACUUCACUUGUUGGUGAAACUACACUAGCACAGUUAUAUGCACAUUUACUGUUUUGGUAUCUAAUUUCCUUGCCUUAAGUUGGGUGCAGAUGUUUAUAUUACAAAUAGAUGGUAUCAUAAAAUUGUUGUAUUCACGUUUGUUCUUUUUUUUCUUCCUUAAGUUUUUUUCUUUAUUCUCGUGACUUCAAAAAUACGAACUCAAGAAAUUGGCUGCUUAAUCAAUAUGUCAUACAGGCUUCGCUAGUGAGGUAUAACUUCACAACUAGAGUCAAUAGAAAUUAUCAAAUGAUUUUUUAACAUCCAAAUUAAGCAAUAAAUUUUGUUUUCAUUUUAUGACAUAUAAUAGUACUACUUCAUGAGAGAUUUUAUAGUUUCUUUUAGGUAUCAUACCUACAAGUGAUAUUUGUCAUUGGAUAGUGACAGAAGUGUUAAUGAUUGUAAGAUUAAAUAUUGUUAAAUAUUGAAAUUUAAACUAUUUAUCUUUAUUGAAAGAUACAAGUUAAAGAAUCGUUCAAGGGGGCAAUUUUCCAUCUUGUCUUUUUGAAAAAACGCUAUCACAUUGUAUAGGCAUGAUAGGUUCAAAUUUGUCAUUAAAUUUAUGAUUGAUUUUCCUUUUAUUCAAGCCAAAUAUUGUUUUAAUUAUCAAAUUCUACUUAUAUUUGGUUAAUUGUACUAAUUGUAGGGCGGUAGAGCAAAAGUUGCUAAAAAUAGGCGAUUUUCUGCAAAUUGGUUGUCAAGGCUGAAGGAUUUGGGAUUCGCAUGUUCAAGGCCUGUUUCCAAGUUUGAUUCAAACUCUGGACAGUUUUAGAGGAAGAUUUGGAAGAUUUGAAAUUUCAUUAUUAGUUUUAUGGUUGAAUUAGGAAUCUUGGAAUAAUUUCUUUUGUGAUUUAUUUUUCUAUUUAGGAGACUAGUUGUUAUUUAGUAGUAGACUUCAAUUAGAAAACAAAGAGAAAAAGAAGGCCGGAAUCCCGCUUGAUUAAUACCUUGGCCAGGGAACAAUCUCGGUGGGGAGGACGGCCACUUAGCCUCUCAAUUCAUCUUGCUUUUCGUUAGUUUGAGAGGAAAACCAAUUGCAACUAGAUUCAAUGGAGUCUGGCAGAAUUUCUUCUAGGAUGCGUAGCUAAAUCCUCAAUUUUUAGUCGAAGGUCAAUUUGAAAAUUCGGUUCCAAAUAUCUGUGAAAUCGAAUUAUUUUACUUAUUUCUUUUAUUUAUUGGUAUUCGCACGUUUUCUGAUUUAACUUUUUAUGAUUGUUUUGUUAUUUGAAUGUCAAGGGUCCGAUAUUCGAAUUAACUUAAUAAUCUACUGCCAAAUUAACCGGUUAAAUCCGUAAUUGUUUGAUUGAUUAAUAUCAGUGGCGACUAGCGUGAUUGGUCCCAUGUUAGGAAAACGUCUGAUCUAAUUUAAACAAACCGUCGUAGCGUGUUUGUUGAUUAGGGUUGGGCUUUUCUAAUUCUUAAUUCAAUUGAGAAAUUAAAUCCCCCGGUCGUACCUAGGAUUAUUUUUUUGUUAGCGAAAUAGUUAAUGGUCGUACCUUGACUAUCGAAAAAGUAAGGAAGAGUUGAUUGUUUAUCGCGUGUACGACAACUAUAAUCAAUCUAUUAAUGAGUAAUUGAAUUAUCUUUGCAUCAGUAAUCAGUUGAAUGGACCGUGUCUGAAAAGUUGUACCUUUGGCUAGAGUCUUAUCUGUUGUUGAUUCAUUCAUAUCUAUCUUCAUGCGUUGUUUUAAUUUAGUUAAUUAGUUAUUUUUAUAAAAACCCCUCAUCUCUGGACUCUAAAAGAAAUAAAUUAUUUCUAGUUCCUGUGGAUUCGAUCCUACUCACCAUACAAUCCAACCUGCAAUUGUAUGAACCCCAAUCUCGCUUCCUAGUCCACCAUUUUUCUCUAGGUAAUAAUCUCCCUUCUAAUUUCUUCACAAAAUGCACCUUUCAUCACCUCCAAUAGCGUCGACAUGAUCUUUACCCCAGAAGACUAUUCACCGACUCUCAAUUGACGUUAGAAAAUCUAAGAGUAAUUCUACUUUACCCUAAGAUUGAUAUCAACAAGACAAGGACAAUUUAGAAUUAUUACACGCCUCUUCUUAAUAGGAAAAAGAAAUAGAGAAGAAAGUCAGGCCAGGUCUAAUUUCUUUUCAAAGGCAAUACAACAUUACGAAAUCAAGCAUUCAUUCAUACAAAUAUUUCAUAGUCACCGGUUUGCUGAGUAGAAAAAUUUAGACAAAAACUUAAUAUUAUAUUGUUUAAGAGUUAACAAUUUAGAGCUUAAUCUCCUUGUACUUUGGAGUUAACAAUUUAGAGCUUAAUCUCCUUGUACUUUGGACUAAACUUGAACGUGAAAGGAAAUCCCAAAACCAUAUUGGGCAUGAAUUCACACUUAAUAUACCCAAUAAAAGAUGGCGACUGGUGAAAGGCAGUGGAGACUGGUGGAGAGAUUUGAGGAAUAGAAGCAGACGGAAAAGCAACAAAUUUUUGCCGAAAAACGGUCACUUUCAUGGUUAAUUUUGCUACUCUCCAAUUGUACUUGACCAAUUACAACAAUUUCAUGGAGUUUGAUACGUGAAAAGAAUUUUUUAUAAAUUUUAUUUUGAUCCAUAAUGUUAUCUUUACAUAUAUAAAACAUUUUACAAUUUUGAUUUUGGCGCAGUUAACUUUUGGUAAACAAAAAUGCUCAUGUUUAAAAAACCGGAAAUAAAACAAAACAAGAAACAAAAGAAAUAAGAGGGUAGCAUAGACAUUUUGGAUUUUUCCGUUAAUUUGGAUGAUUUCCACCCACGUUCUAAUUUAAUCCAAAACACAAAGGAAUUACGUAGAGGUUUUAAAUAAUGAGGGAGCUUCAUGAUCGAACCCCAAACCACAAGGCGAUUUACUAUAUUUUACUCUUAAAUUUUGGUUUCAUCUCAUAGCAUACAAGAGUUCUAUUUCACUAUCUGUAGACAAAGACUUUCUAUGGUUGAUGUACCAUAGGAAAAAAUCUGCCUAUACAACGUGAUAGCAUUUUUUCAAAAACACAAGAUGGAAAAUUGCCCCCUUAAACGGGGAAAUUCAUGAUCUUUCCUCGAACAAAGAAUACUCACGCCUAUUCAAGAUGGAAAAUUGCCCCCUUAAACGUCUAUUUGUCAAUUCUUGAAAAAAGAAUACUCACGCCUAAAACACGGCCUCUUCAUCUGCAGAAUUCUAAAAAGUUAGGUAAACUCUAUAAACAAGUUGAUAGGUACAAUCGUACCCAAGAUCAAGUACAGAUAGUUGUACAUUCACUGCUGCAAUAACUAAUCUGAUGACUUACAAACAUAUCAUGGUCAAUCGUUGAAUGGUAAUGAGUCUUUUGUUAUGCAUUAGUAUUAGUGUGUACACUCUAAUAGAUUGAUACUUAUACUCUUUAAAUUAUCAUAAUAAUACCCUUAAUUAACUUUAACUCUUAAAAAGAAUACGUGUUAAUACACGAGAGUGUGUAACCUGAAUUGUUACUUAUACAUUAGUGUGUAAUAGAUAGGGAUGGCAAUGGGGGCGGGUGCCCGCAGGCAACCGCCCCGCGGGGGGCUCUCGGGGCGGGGAGGGGGGAAUUUUUUCCCCCCGUUUAGAAACGGGGCAGGGGACGGGGGAGUAUACCCCCGCCCCAUCCCCCGCAAAAAAAAUUAUAUAUAUAUAAUUAUAUAUAAUAUGUAAUUUAAUUAGUUAUAAACUUAUGAUAAUGAUAUUAUUAGUUAGAUGUAUUAUAUAAUGUAUAUUAGUGUAUGUAAUAUAAUUAAUAUUAUCAAUUAUACGAAUAAUUAGACAUGUCUACUAAUAGAAUUUAUUAAUUAGUUAUACUAAAUUUACUAAUACAUUUAUACUAAAUUUCUAAUUACAUUUAAUAGAAUAACACUUUUUUCUAAAAAAAAAAGCACAAACACAAUAAUGAAUUAGUGAUUGUAUUUUUACCAAAAAUGAAAACUUAACUAUUUUAGUUGCAUUUAUUUCAUCAUGUUGGAUUGUAUUCAAAUAAUUUUUGUUUGAUUGUUUUUAUGAGUUUCAAUUGUAAAAUUAAAAUGAAUAAUAACUUGAUGAAUAAUAAUGUCAAUCGUUGAAUGGUGUGUACACUCUAAUAUUAUGCAUUAGUAUUAGUGUGUACACUCUAAUAGAUUGAUACUUAUACUCUUUAAAUUAUCAUAAUAAUACCCUUAAUUAACUUUAACUCUUAAAAAGAAUACGUGUUAAUAACUCUUAACCUGAAUUGUUACUUAUACAUUAGUGUGAAAUAGAACGGCAAGCAUUGAGCAACUUAUAGGAGAAAUAGUCCUAUAAGCUGUUGGAUGACUAAUAUAGCUCUAGCUGUAAUGUUUUAAUUAAAUUACAUCACUAACGUUGGGAUGACUAAUGGUUUAAAAAUAAUUGAGUAAUUGGAAAAAAAAAAAGAGACUAAUUUUCAUUGAAACCCACCGACAAACUAAACGUGUCCAUGGCUUUUGAAUAGUGCAUUCAACGUUUAAUUGUAUAGUCCAGUUCAUUGCAGAUUACAUGGAGUAAAGAUUGUGCUCUUUCCUUUUUCACCCCUUUUGGAAUCGAUACUGUGGAGAAUUGGGUUUUUCCCUUCUUUUUUUCUUUUCUUUCUUUCUGUGCUUUGCAAAACAUAGGUAAAAUUAUGAAAUCCGAAGCAUUCUUUAAUUGGGAUUAAGUAUUGUUCUUGAAAUUAAAAAGAAGAAAGAAAGAACAACAAAAUUCCCUGAUUGGUUGCAUCGUGCUUCCAUAGAAGCUCUCUUAGUGUGAUACACUGCUUUCAAUCAGUUUAACAUGGAAAAAAGAAAGAGAUGAAAAGCAAAUUUGGUGGGGAUAAUUUCAGAAACCUCCCCUGAAGAUUUUGACUAUUCUACUGGUCUCCCUUCAGAUUUUAAAAAUUACACUAAUCUUCCUUGAAGUUAUAACAUUUAAAUUCAAUCAAUAAUUUAAAAAAUGAUAUUAUGAAAGAGAAAAUAAUAUGAUUUUAUCAUUGCCCCCCAUCUUACUACAUUAUUUAAUUAAUUUAAUAGCAACCCACACAUUAAAGAAAAAUAUAAAAUUUGUUAUUUAUCAUUAAAGAUCAAAUCGCUUAUAACAUCAAAUAAUAGUAUAUUAUUUAUAUUUUUCACUUAACAUAAUAUCCAAAUUACUCUUUUCAAUUACAUACUCAUUGUUAGACAAUCAACAACAAAUAACCAAAAAAUUUGCAACCAAAAUAUUACAAAAAAAAAUAAACUUUAACAUCAUAAAUAUUCUUAUCAACAUAUUAAAGUUAGUUACUGAAAUUUUUAUGGUGUUAAACUUCACUCUUUGUAAUAUUUUGGUUACAGAUUUUUUUUGAUUAUUUUUUAUUAAUUAUGUUUGAUGAUGGGUUUGUAAUUGAAAAGAAUAAUUUAAAACUUACAUUAAGUGAAAUAUAUAGAGUGAUAUACUAUUUUUUAUAACAUAUGUGAUUCAAUCCUUCUUGAUAGGAUUGGUAAUAGAGGUAGAGGGGGGAGUCGGCUGCAUCCGGUCUUCUUUUCAUAGAUAGUACAAUAUUGCGAAAUCAAUCGCAUUCACACAAUAAUAUUUCGAAGUCAAUGCAUGGCUAAGUUGCAUAAAAGUACGAACACUUGUUAUUAUAUAGCUUAAGAUUCAAAACUUUAGAGCAUAACCCUCCACCUAACACAAUUGAAUAAUGAAUAUUCACGUUUGUCAAAUCUGUCAAAGCACAGUUUGAGGACAACCCAUUCCAACCUGCAAAAGAUUUUUUACUUUUCUAAAGUUGUUGAGAGCUGUAAAAAGACCUACCAUGCUUACAUCCUCCGAGCCUUGGGAGUUAAAAAUGAAGGCACUGAGUGCUAUAAAAAGGGGGCUAGAGGCUGCCUAGAAGCAUAUCAGCCUAAAACAAGAAUUUGUUGUUAUGAUGGGAAGCAAAGCAAAAGCAAUGGGGUCUGGGCUGACUCCUCUUCUUGCCACUGUUUUAGUGGUAUUUGUUGCUCUUGGCUUGCCCUCAGAAACAGCAGCUGAUGAUCACUACAAGUAUUCAUCUCCUCCUCCUCCUUACCACUAUCCCUCACCACCGCCUCCAGUGCAUUUACCUCCACCAGUGUACAAAUACAAGUCCCCACCACCACCUCAUCAUGUUUACAAGUACAAAUCUCCACCACCCCCACCACCACACCCAGUUUACAAGUAUAAGUCACCACCACCACCUCCUCAUCCGGUACCACACCCAGUUUACAAGUAUAAGUCACCACCACCACCUCCUCAUCCGGUAUACAAGUAUAAGUCUCCUCCGCCACCACCACACCCAGUUUACAAGUAUAAGUCACCACCACCACCUCCUCAUCCGGUACCACACCCAGUUUACAAGUAUAAGUCUCCUCCGCCAC
This 57842-nucleotide long non-coding RNA is filed under the name Coffea arabica (coffee). Its description in RNAcentral is "long non-coding RNA (CARA_LNC007267)". The record is from RNAcentral. Lineage: Eukaryota; Viridiplantae; Streptophyta; Magnoliopsida; Gentianales; Rubiaceae.